CAAUGAUACGUCCUGUACAUGACAUUAUUGAUUAAUGACGAUUUUCAACUACAUCUUUAAGAUCUCAAAUCUUACUAAUCAAAUUUGAUCAAAAAUGAAAACUUUGACUACUUUCUUAGAAAUGUAUUAUUAUUACUAUUAUUUUCCUGCAUACAGCAUAUAAUUAAUUUCUCACAACUAUUUAUUUAAAUAUUUCAAAGCUCACAACCAUAUUUAUAAAUUAAUAUAUAUUCACAAAAGGUUUUGGUUGGUGGACUAGUGCGGUCCCUCUGCUUCUUAGUGUGUCUUCCACUAUCAUGAAAAGCAAAAUAAAGUCACUAUAAGGACAGCUAAAAAUAAUUGAACCGACUAUACUAUCCACACAAAACCAAAAAUGGAAGCUACAAUUUUCACAAAAAUCCUCUAUUUCUUCACUCUUUUUCUUUCCCUUUUAUUUAUAAUCACUUCCGUAACAGGCCAAUCACCAUGCAAUGGUACAAUAGCUAAGUGUAUCGAAGAGUUGGAGAUAUUAAUGGAGUCUGAUAUUAGUAGAAGAUUUCUUGAAGAAAGAAAAAAGUAUAUUUCUCCAGGAGCUUUGAAAAGAAAUCAGCCGGUUUGUAACGGCGGCGGUGGCGGCGAACCGUAUUUGCGACGCUGCCUUCCGCGGCCGUCAAAUCCGUAUAAUAGAGGUUGUUCUAAGUGACAAGUGGGUUGCUCUGAUGGUAAACAUCUUCCACUUCCAACUAAGAAGUUGUGAGUUCGAGUCAUCCCAAGAGCAAGGUGGGGAGUUCUGGGAGAUAAGGAUACCGAUGGUCAUUUGGAAACUGCCUCUCUACUCCAGGGUAGGGGUAAGGUAUGCGUACACACUACCCUCCACAAACUCCACUAGUGAAAUUAUACUGGAUUGUUGUUAUUGUUUAGAGGUUGUUCUAAGUAUUAUCAUUGUAGAAGUGAUCAAUGAUAUAAAAAAAAAGGGUGAUUCUGAAUUUUAUGUUUUUCUUUUCUUUCUACUUAUGAUGUUGUGUUUACGUGGUUAUGAUUUGUAGAUGAAAUUGUUUCUUUCAAUGCUAGCUAUUGAUGUUAUUUUCUUUUCUAAUUAUGAUGUCCGGACUAGAUUGCAAAACCUAAUUACUAAUAUUAACGUUGAUAUUUCUUUAUGUACUUAAUUAUACUAGCCAAUAAUUUCAUUGAAUAACAACAAGCAGAAUUUAUUUUUGAUAGAUUUUGUAGUUUUGGAAACUUCAAGGAGGUUUGACAUCAGCUUCUUUUCUCUAGUAAGUUAUUUGGAACGAUUAAGGCUUUAAUGAUAAUUUUAUACUUCAAACGAUUUUUUUUUUUACAAAAUAAUUCUCUAGUACAUAAUUAUUUUCUGUUGUUUAUUAAUGUUAAUACAUUAUCCCGAGAGGGAGGAAGCUCACUAAAACUGCAACUCGUUAAGGACGAUGAGGAAAAAUAAUAAAUUUAAUAAGCGAGGAAGUGUAGAAAAGAUCAUAACUAGGUAAAAAAGAUUAGCAAGUAUAGGAUUUCAUUUUAUAUUAUUGACUUAAUGUUGUAUCAGAAUUAUGGCAAAGGAAAAAACAGGGGAAGAGCAAAAUUUCCAUUUAGUUAAGUAACGUCAAAUAUCUUUGAAUAACUAAUCAUGGAGAUACUAUGGUCUAUGUCCAUACGCAUGUUAGUUAUAAGAAUUUAAUAAGAAUAUGCCUCACCACAUUUGGAUAAUUGUUAAAUAGGUGUUUUUUGUUUGUUUUUGCCUUUGGUGUGAGUUAAGAAUUUAGCAAAUGUCAUUUCUAGUUUACAAUGGUUGACAAACAACUACAAAAUACUUACUAACCGGAGACGAAGUAUAAAUGAUUUCUUAUGAUAGACAACAANNNNNNNNNNNNNNNNNNNNNNNNNNNNNNNNNNNNNNNNNNNNNNNNNNNNNNNNNNNNNNNNNNNNNNNNNNNNNNNNNNNNNNNNNNNNNNNNNNNNNNNNNNNNNNNNNNNNNNNNNNNNNNNNNNNNNNNNNNNNNNNNNNNNNNNNNNNNNNNNNNNNNNNNNNNNNNNNNNNNNNNNNNNNNNNNNNNNNNNNNNNNNNNNNNNNNNNNNNNNNNNNNNNNNNNNNNNNNNNNNNNNNNNNNNNNNNNNNNNNNNNNNNNNNNNNNNNNNNNNNNNNNNNNNNNNNNNNNNNNNNNNNNNNNNNNNNNNNNNNNNNNNNNNNNNNNNNNNNNNNNNNNNNNNNNNNNNNNNNNNNNNNNNNNNNNNNNNNNNNNNNNNNNNNNNNNNNNNNNNNNNNNNNNNNNNNNNNNNNNNNNNNNNNNNNNNNNNNNNNNNNNNNNNNNNNNNNNNNNNNNNNNNNNNNNNNNNNNNNNNNNNNNNNNNNNNNNNNNNNNNNNNNNNNNNNNNNNNNNNNNNNNNNNNNNNNNNNNNNNNNNNNNNNNNNNNNNNNNNNNNNNNNNNNNNNNNNNNNNNNNNNNNNNNNNNNNNNNNNNNNNNNNNNNNNNNNNNNNNNNNNNNNNNNNNNNNNNNNNNNNNNNNNNNNNNNNNNNNNNNNNNNNNNNNNNNNNNNNNNNNNNNNNNNNNNNNNNNNNNNNNNNNNNNNNNNNNNNNNNNNNNNNNNNNNNNNNNNNNNNNNNNNNNNNNNNNNNNNNNNNNNNNNNNNNNNNNNNNNNNNNNNNNNNNNNNNNNNNNNNNNNNNNNNNNNNNNNNNNNNNNNNNNNNNNNNNNNNNNNNNNNNNNNNNNNNNNNNNNNNNNNNNNNNNNNNNNNNNNNNNNNNNNNNNNNNNNNNNNNNNNNNNNNNNNNNNNNNNNNNNNNNNNNNNNNNNNNNNNNNNNNNNNNNNNNNNNNNNNNNNNNNNNNNNNNNNNNNNNNNNNNNNNNNNNNNNNNNNNNNNNNNNNNNNNNNNNNNNNNNNNNNNNNNNNNNNNNNNNNNNNNNNNNNNNNNNNNNNNNNNNNNNNNNNNNNNNNNNNNNNNNNNNNNNNNNNNNNNNNNNNNNNNNNNNNNNNNNNNNNNNNNNNNNNNNNNNNNNNNNNNNNNNNNNNNNNNNNNNNNNNNNNNNNNNNNNNNNNNNNNNNNNNNNNNNNNNNNNNNNNNNNNNNNNNNNNNNNNNNNNNNNNNNNNNNNNNNNNNNNNNNNNNNNNNNNNNNNNNNNNNNNNNNNNNNNNNNNNNNNNNNNNNNNNNNNNNNNNNNNNNNNNNNNNNNNNNNNNNNNNNNNNNNNNNNNNNNNNNNNNNNNNNNNNNNNNNNNNNNNNNNNNNNNNNNNNNNNNNNNNNNNNNNNNNNNNNNNNNNNNNNNNNNNNNNNNNNNNNNNNNNNNNNNNNNNNNNNNNNNNNNNNNNNNNNNNNNNNNNNNNNNNNNNNNNNNNNNNNNNNNNNNNNNNNNNNNNNNNNNNNNNNNNNNNNNNNNNNNNNNNNNNNNNNNNNNNNNNNNNNNNNNNNNNNNNNNNNNNNNNNNNNNNNNNNNNNNNNNNNNNNNNNNNNNNNNNNNNNNNNNNNNNNNNNNNNNNNNNNNNNNNNNNNNNNNNNNNNNNNNNNNNNNNNNNNNNNNNNNNNNNNNNNNNNNNNNNNNNNNNNNNNNNNNNNNNNNNNNNNNNNNNNNNNNNNNNNNNNNNNNNNNNNNNNNNNNNNNNNNNNNNNNNNNNNNNNNNNNNNNNNNNNNNNNNNNNNNNNNNNNNNNNNNNNNNNNNNNNNNNNNNNNNNNNNNNNNNNNNNNNNNNNNNNNNNNNNNNNNNNNNNNNNNNNNNNNNNNNNNNNNNNNNNNNNNNNNNNNNNNNNNNNNNNNNNNNNNNNNNNNNNNNNNNNNNNNNNNNNNNNNNNNNNNNNNNNNNNNNNNNNNNNNNNNNNNNNNNNNNNNNNNNNNNNNNNNNNNNNNNNNNNNNNNNNNNNNNNNNNNNNNNNNNNNNNNNNNNNNNNNNNNNNNNNNNNNNNNNNNNNNNNNNNNNNNNNNNNNNNNNNNNNNNNNNNNNNNNNNNNNNNNNNNNNNNNNNNNNNNNNNNNNNNNNNNNNNNNNNNNNNNNNNNNNNNNNNNNNNNNNNNNNNNNNNNNNNNNNNNNNNNNNNNNNNNNNNNNNNNNNNNNNNNNNNNNNNNNNNNNNNNNNNNNNNNNNNNNNNNNNNNNNNNNNNNNNNNNNNNNNNNNNNNNNNNNNNNNNNNNNNNNNNNNNNNNNNNNNNNNNNNNNNNNAAAGAGCGUUAUAUAUAGUUAGAUAAUUCUUUAUUUUUACAUGCAUUUUCGUAAUACUUGGCAAAAAUAACCACAAGUGGGUUCUGGACUCAUAUAAGCACUUCAACGAAAUAAAAUGGAAGUUUCCGCUAGAUAUUUCUUAGAUUUUGUGGUUUCCGCUAGAUAUUUCUUAGAUUUUGUGGUUUCUGGCAUGAAACAAGGGGGCCAUCUAUUAAUACUCAUUCCUUUCAAAUUAGAUCGGCUACUUUCCUUUUUAGUUUGUUCCAAAAUAAGUGACACAUUUCUAAAUUAAUAAAUAAUUUAAUUUUAAACUCUUCAUUUUACCCAUUUUACCCUUAACAAGAAGUUUUUAUAACCAAACAAAUGUCAUGACCCCACAAAGCUUUUACCUUAAGUUUUUAAGACCGCAUAUUUUAAAAGUCUACUUCUUUUUUCUUAAAGUUCGUGUCGAGUCAAACUAACUCAUCUAAAUUGAAAUGGAGGGAGUAUUAUAUAUAUGUAGAUUGAAGUCGUGUAUUUCUUAAUUUAAAAUUUUAUAACUAUUUUAAAUUUUAUUUUUUAAUCAAAUUAUUUAAUCGAGAUCUUUUUUUAAAAUUGAAUUGAAUUAAUUUAAAAUGGAUCGAACCGAAUUAAUCCAAAAUGAAUCAAACUGAUAAAAUGUCCACCCAUAUUCAAUUUCGUCACUAGUGGUCGAUUUGCAUUAAAAGCAGUGACACAUGUUACUAUCAAAUCCUAGAUCCACCUCUAAAUUUGCAGAUCAUACAUGACCCUUGAGUAUAUUUUCUUGUAGAGUGAUGAAAUGAGAAUUUUGCAAAUUCCUUUCAAAAUUUUAGGGCAUUACAUACUGAAACAAUAUUCAUAAAUUUAAUCGAAUAAGAUUAAACAAGAGCUUACUGUAACGAAACUAUAAAUGCAUGCAGUAUAGUUCACGGUUUGUGAGUUGUUCUAAGAAAUUAUUUUUGAGUUUCUUAGUAUUGAUAGUAUAUACAACUUGCCUUGAUAGAAAUUGAUGGAAACACUUUACAAGUUGUUUGUGGGGUUCUAUUCUGUUGCAUCUCAAAAGUCUUUUUCUUUGAAUCACUUUCACAUUAUCGGCAAGUGAAUUGAAAGAAUUGGUCAAAAUUUAUUUGUUUCAUCCGUCUCGAUUUAUGUGAUGAUGUUUUUACGAACAUGAAAUUUAAAAUAAAAAUAAUUUUUUAAAAACAUAUAGUAUAAAACAAGUCACGCAAUAAAUCAUUACAGUAAGAAUAAAAUAAAAAGAUAACAACUGUUAGAAGUUUGGCCUUUUACUUGCAAGCAAGCUAUCAAUUCUCUUAGUUCACUUGCCAACCCCACAAACGACUUUGAGUCUUUCCCUUAACUUCUAUGCCCUAUAUUGCGUUGAAUGCUCUGAUGUCUUAUCAACAGAAAGACCUCAAAAUUGAACUAUUUUCAGAGUAAUUAUAAUUUUUGAAUUGUGGUUAAUUCAGUAAUCUCUCCUUAUUUUUAUCCGAUGAAAUUUAUGAUUUUUUUUCGUGUCCCCAAAAUUUUCUAAACUUUGUUAUUUUGUUCCAUUCUUUGCUCAACUUGAGUCUUUUCUGACAUGAAUUAGAUGCCAACAUGAUAUGAGAUGUCAUGAAGUGCAUAAAUUCACUUAAAAUUAUAUGUAUGAUUUCAAGUUAUUAUUUAAGCCCGCUUAUUCCGAAAUUUAGCCGCAACUCUAUUUCCUUUUACUCAAAUUCAACAUUCUAAACAAAAAAAAAAAAAAAUAAGUGAGAAAAAUAAAGAAAAAAAAUAUACAGUUGGAACAAAUAAUCAAUGUAUAUGUCCAAUUGAACAUGAUCAAACUCAACUUGCACUAGAAAUGAUCUUUUAGGUAUUUGCGACAUGUGUUUUAUUUGAAACAUUUAAAGAGAGGCGAAACUAGGAUCUUUAGCUUCUAGAUUCUGGACCACAAUCAUUUUUGCUUAUUGGGUUCUAAGUAGAUUAUUUAUACAUAUUAAAUAAUUUUUUUAACAUAAAAUAUAUUUUGACCUAAAUUUUCAUAACUAUAAUGAUAGCUCCGCCCUGCAUUUGAAUACCAAGGCAAAAGGAAGAAGAUGAAAAGCAAAAGGUAAAAAGUUCCUUUAAUGCUAAUUUUAAUUGAAAGAUGGUUUUUUUUGCUCAACAUUUAAAAUGAUGGCUAAACUUUAAAUACCAUGCCAAAAACUGGCCUGCCACACUAUUUCUACUGGACACCAAAAAGAAGCCAACUGCCCAAACCCAAUGUAAACAAAAUCUAAAUUUUGAUAUUGAGUUAAAACCAUAGUCAAAAUGCUGCAAUCUCACAUUGGUCCAUUUUCACUGCCAUUUGUGAAACUGCAAAAUGAAAUGGCAAGUCUGCCAUUUUAACACCAGACUUAUUUUUUUACUUUGAAUAAAUCUCACUAUAACCCCUUACAUACCAACCCGGUGAUAUAAAAACAACAUACUUAAUUUCAACCUAAUAUAAAAACGAAAAAGGGCAAAAACUGCCCCAAACUUAUUCGCUGUGGUUUUAAAAUAACCUCGUUCACCAAUUUUGUUAAAACUGCCUUCACCGUUAAAAAUAUGGCCUCAUUCAUACUCUCGGAAGUAAUGGCCCUAUUUUGAUUAAGAAAUAUUUUUAUUACUUAUUAUAUGUCAAUUUUCUAUUGGUUUAAAUUAAAACCUCAGCCAACAUCCACUGAUUAAACCACCUCCAUGACCCAAAACACUCAUACCUGACCCAUGCCUCCCCCCUUUUAAAAUGCCCUAACUUCUCUUCUUCCAUCCCUGCGAGUAACUCUCACUCAACAUUUUCUCUAAUCAUCUUCCAUGGCCAAAGUAUAAUAACUCACCAUUGCUGAUAGAGGACCGCCACCUUCGGCUUCAACUUUUAGAUCUUCACCUUUCAACACCAAUAGAUCAUUAUCUCCCACUCAGAUUUUUCGACCUUAGUUUUAUUUUUAAAUUAACAUAUUUUUGUAAAAUCAAUUUUCUGAGUGAAAUCUGAUAUUUUUGGGAUUAAAAUAAUGGUUCAUUUUAAGACUUUAGAGCCUAAUAAGUUGUCUUUUUGUCAAAGUUAUAUUUCUUGUGCCACCAUGUAGUCUUUUGAUGUUAAUUGAAAUCAUGCGAGAAAAUUAUCUUCACAGUUCGUCGAUGGUAAUUAAGUUGGGGAAGAUGAAUAGGGAAAGAGAUAAGAUACCAAAUAAUUAAAAAAAAUGAAAUUUUGACAAAUGAAACUUACAUAACGAUUAGAUCAUGAGUGGGGUGUGGAAUCGGGUGUUUUGAGGGGUUAAAAGGGAGUUUAACGGGUCGGAACAAUUAAAAUGAGUCGUGGGUGGGUUAUUUACGGAUUAUAUUUGGGAUGGAGUGGGAUUUUAAUCUUGACCAACAAGCAAUUGCCAUGUCAAAUAUAAUAAUUCCUUUUUAUUUCUACAAUGGUUCGUCAGAAAUAAGGGCAUGAAUGGGCUUGAUUUUUAACUGUAAGGGCAGUUUUAACAACAUAGGUGGACGAGAGAUAUUUUUGAACAAAAGCGAAUAUGUUAGAGGCAAUUUUGAUCCUUUUCCGAUAUAAAAAUAGGAAUAACCAUUAUCCUAAUGAAUAUAAAGUCCAACUUUAUUGAGAUUUUGAUGGUUAAAAUGAAAUGAAUGGUAUGGGCAGAAAGACGAAUUUCAUGGAUAUUUGAUUUUUUUUUUAUUUCUUACUUUUGAGAUAGUUAGUAGCAUGCUUAGGCCGUCCACACUCGGCUAGGCAAACUUUAGGAUGCUUUAUUUAUUUUUAAGGGAAAGGUUGUUCCCUCAUAUGCAGGGGAAUGCCCCAUAGAAUUUGUAUAUAUCUUAUUCGGGGUAUAUCCCGUAGUGAAUGUAAUUAGAGGCCGUGACCGACAUCAUGGUGUAGACUGUUAGUAUUUUCUUUUCCUUUUUCUUUUCUUUUAUUUAGGUGGGGACAACCUCAAGCCUUUUGUGUGUUUAUCUUGCUUCUAUGUGCUUUCGCCUCAAUUAGAAUAUUUUUUAAAGCCAACUAGAUCAUGUGCGCAAUUGUGACUUUCACGGGACUCGGGGAAUGUCUAACAUCUUCUCCCCGAGUCAAAUGAACCUCCUUACUUGAAUCUCUGGUGCAAACUGGUUUAGAAUCAAAUAUGUUUUAAAGGUAAAUGGUGACUUGGCACACCGAGAUUAUAUGUCAAGUGGCGACUCUGAAGAUCCUUCAAAAUAUAAUUUUGUCACUUUUCAAUUUUGAAAACUCUUUUGAGCUUUAAAAUCACUUUCUUUAUUAUUUUAAAGGGGUUAAUGAUAAGUAAAAAAGGUGUGUGAUAGCCCUAGAGGCCAAUCACACUUAGGACAUUAUUGCAUUGCCUAGUGGGAAGAAACUUAUAGGGUGUAAGUGGGUCUAUAAGAUUAAGUAUAAGGUUGAUGGCGUUGUUGAAAGGUAUAAAGUUAGGCUUGUUAUUGAGGGUGACACCUAGGUUGAGGGGGUGGACUUUAAUGAAACUUUUUCCCUUGUUGUAAAGAUGUUCGUUGUUAAGUAUCUAGUGGUUAUUGCAAUUAAAAAUGGUUAGCCUUUGUUUAAAUUAGAUGUUAACAAUGCCUUUUUACAUGGUGGUUUGGAUGAAAAAGUCUAUAUGAAGCUUCCUCCUGGUCUUUCUGUCAUUACUGCCUCUUCUUCUUCUUCUUCUUCUUCUUCUUNNNNNNNNNNNNNNNNNNNNNNNNNNNNNNNNNNNNNNNNNNNNNNNNNNNNNNNNNNNNNNNNNNNNNNNNNNNNNNNNNNNNNNNNNNNNNNNNNNNNNNNNNNNNNNNNCUUCUUCUACGUUGGUUUGUCGUUUACAAACGUCCCUCUAUAGCUUGAGACAAGCCUCAAGGCAAUGGUAUGCUAAGCUUUAUCAAGCCCUUUACUCUAGAGGUUAUACUCAUUCCCUUAAUGAUUACUCCCUGUUCAUCAAGGGUUCUCCUGGUCAUAUGGUUAUCCUUGUUGUCUAUGUUGAUGAUAUAAUAUUAACUAGGAUGAUCUUGCUGAAAUCACUGCUUUGAAGACACUUCUGAAUGCCCAGUUCAAAAUCAAAUAUCUGGGCACUCUUCAUUAUUUUUUGGGGAUUGAGGUUUCAUCUUUACCUGGUGGUGUGCUCCUCAAUCAGAAGAAAUUUGUAUUUGAUCUUUUGCGGGAAUUUAAUUGUUUAGAGGUUGCUUCUGUUGUUUCCUUUGGAAUUAAACUCCAAACUGAAGGCUGAUUGUGGUGAUCUGUUGGCUCAACCUGAGAGAUAUAGGAGUCUAGUUGGGAAGUUGUUAUUCCUCACCAACACUAGGCCUGAUAUUUAUUUUUGGGUGCUACAUCUCAGUCAAUUUCUUCAAUCUCCAAGAGUCCCUCAUAUGGCUAUUGCUCUACAUUUGUUGAGGUACCUCAAGGGCACACCUGAUCUUGGCCUAUUUUACUCUAACUCCUCCGAUUUUACUAUCUCAGCAUAUUCCGACAGUGAUUGGGCAGCCUGCCCGGACACCAUGCGAUAUGUUACUGGAUUCUGUGUGUUUCUGGGUGAUAGCUUAACUUCUUGGAAGUCUAAUAAGUAGCCUGUCGACAAGGAGUUGUUCAUAUUGCCAAAAAUCCAUUUUCCAUGAGCAGACAAAGCAUAUUGAGGUCGAUUAUCACUUUGUUCAAGGGAAGCUUUCUAAUGGUUUCAUUCAACUCUCUCAUGUUUCCACUUCAAAGUAGUUUCCUGAUGUUCUCACCAAACCUUUAACUGGGUUGCUUCAUCACCAAUUUGUUUGCAAGUUUCAGAUGUUAUCCCCCUCCAACUUGAAGGGGGUGUUGGACUCAUGGACUAUUUGGAAUCUAGGCCCAUAAGGAAACACUGAGCAACAUAACCUUUAUUUAUCUUACUUGUAAUUGGGCCUAUUGUAAUUAUGCAACCGGCCCAUUUAUAUAUUUAAUAGUUAGCCUAUUCAAAUUUUACAUUGUAUUAGUUAUGUGUAAUAUGGGCAUUAUAUAAUAUGAAGGGUCAACCCGGGUCACCCCAUCGGAGUCGUUUUCCUCAAAUCAGUUCUAGAAAGAUCAUCUCUCCUCUCUUCUCUCUCACAUGAACCCUAAUACAUUUUCCCAAAACCCCAAUCGAUUCUUUCAUAUUUUCAGGUUGAUCGUCGUGUCACUAUUCUUCCGAUGAAAAUCAAAAAUAUUUUUGUAUUCCAUCAUAUCUACAUCCUUUGAAAAUUGAUGUCUGAAAUUCAGGGAUUUUUAGUAAGAGAGUCAUAAUUUCUUUUCCUUAGCUUUUGAGAGAUCGAUGCUUGAUAUGCUAAUCCAUGCUACCUUGUUCUUGUUUGUUUUUGUUGCUUUAUUUUUACUGUUCCUUGAGCUGAAGGUCUAUCGGACAAAACCUCUCUGCUUUGACAAGGUAGGGGUAAGGUCUGUAUAUCCAUUAAUCUCCUUGGAUCUCACUUGUGAGAUUACACUGGGUUUGUUAUUGUUGUUGUUGCUGCUGGAGCUUGAUAUGCUGAUAGAAAAUUAAGUCAAUAACAUAAAAUGAAAUCCUAUUCUUGCUAAUCUUUUUUACUAAAUUAUGAUCUUGUCUAGAAUUCCUCGCUUAUUAAAUUUAUUCUUUUUCCCUAUCGUCCUUAGUAACUUGCAGUUUAUUAAGCUUCCACCCUCUAGGAAUAGUGUAUUUAACAAUUUAAAUUAAUAACAACAGAAAAAUAAUUAUGUGCUACGUACAUUCUUGAUAUGCAAAAAAUAAAAGAAAAAAAGAACUCGUUUGAACUAUAAAAUUAUCAUUAAAGUGUUUCUCUUCUGAUAGAAACUUAAGGGUCACCAAACUCUAUCAGUUUCCACGGAAUAUACACAAUAAGAGAUAAGUAAAUGACACAGCAGAGUUUUACGUGAAAAACUCCCACCUCAUGGGAAUUAAACUCUUAAUCCCUCACUCACUUGUAAUAACUCUAUUACAAAGCUCACAACUGGACUAACUCUAGCCAAGACACAAAACACAAGGUUUGUGGUUUUACAAAUAAUUUCCUACACAAUGCUUCUAACUAAGCUAAGUAGGAAUUACAAGUAAAUCAGUUUAACAAAGGUGCAACAUAACUAAAUAUAUAUAAUAACACAAUGCUGGAAACUGGUCCUUCGUUAUGCUGUUCUUUGUUCUUGAAGCCUAGAAGUCACUUGCAAGAUGGCAACAUACUUGAGACGAAACUUGAUUAAUUCUCGGAUGUGCAAGUAUGUUUUCUCCAUUGCUUCAUGUUAAUAAUAUCUAAGUGAUAUCAUCUGGAUGAUGCAAGCAAUAUCCGGUAUAAGGCAUUCCUCAUAAAGUGGCUGUUGCACUGUUCACAAUGUUGCAUGUGUGUAGAGGAACAGUUGCAGCAGCUUUACAGCUGUGAGCAGUUGACUGGUACAAUCAGCAAAGGGAACAGAUGUCCAUCAGUUCCCUCUAUCGUCUCUUUGAUUCUGAUUGUUGGAACAUGUGCCUGACUUGAGACUUGUUGUUCUUGAGCAUUUUGAGGAUAUGUCACAAGUUCCCCAUCUAGUUCUUAUCAAUAAGUUUGUCUGAUCAUCAAAAUAUAACAUGGCAUAUAACCUAUCAAUUUUUCCCUUUUUGAUGAUGACAAGCUUGUAAUUGAAGUUCCCCUGAGAGCCAAAGUACCAUACAAUAUUCCCCUUAACUUGUUCCCCAUCAGUCAAUUUUCACCUUUUGGCAUCACAAAAAGAUUAGUCACAAGUAAUAAGCAAAAAGAAGUAUAGCAUGGUUAACUCAUGCCACAUGUGUGCACACAAACAUGGCUAAGAACAGAGCAUGAGUGUAAGGCAUGCAUAGUAAAAAGGAUGGGAUAUUCAUUAAUUGUAAAUAAAAGGGAGCCGAAUUAGCAGUACCAUUUGUUACACAACCAUUCACAAAAUAAAAUAACUUAAAAAGUACUAGCCACCAAAACAACAAAAUAAAAAGACCACGAUAUAGGACAGAUAGCUUUGAACUUGACACUGGAAAGGAACAUUAUUUUUAGAAGCACUAGAAGGGGGAGACAGGGAUGAAGAGGCAAGAGUUCGGAGGAGAAUAUCCAUUCAAGCAUUUACAAACACUUGCUCGUUAAGCAGCCGCUCCUUUAGGUCCUUGACCUGUUUCCUGAGAUCUGCAUUUUCCUUGGACAAACGGGCAGCCUUGCGCCUAGUGCACUGCUGGAACCAGGUGCCUCCUGAGCCUGAUUAAGUUGCCUUUGAGGAAUAGCAUUUUGUGUCUCCAGCCUCCUUAUCUCCUCAGUUGCAGCAUUCUAAGCAUCAAUCAACUAUGAGAUAGUGGAAUUACUGCCAACCCCUCCUUUCUUAUCAAUGCGCUCACACUCCUCUAAGGUGGUUUUGGAUAAGGUUUGCUUGCGAGUUACCACUUUUGCUUUCCCCAAAGGGACUUUGAAGGAGUUAAACACGUUGGUGAGUAAGAAUCCGUAAGGCAACCCAUGAUUACUAUCCUUAAAAUCUGCCACUUUCUUCAUAUGCUCUAUAACGAGUCCAGGUAGAUUGAUAGUAGUGUAGGCAUCCAGUGCUUUCAUGAGGAAUAGGUUUGCUCUUGACAUAAUGGAACACCUUUCAGACCUUGUUCACUAUCUCAAACACCAAUUGAUACACUAGCAGGAGGGCCUUCUUGUGCACCCGUUCCCCUUGCUGUGCAACAUCAUCCUUCAGAAUGACACUUCUGAAAUUGGGAGAACAUGUCCCUUCAAUGGAUGAAAUCCCUUCAGUUGGCACCCCCAAAAUGUUCCCCAAUACAACCUCAUCCAUCACAAAGUGUACUCCAUUCACCUUCAAACGGAUAUUAUCAUCUUUUAUUGUGAACAUGACUGCAUAGAAGCUACGUACUUCUUCCUCAUACACCUUGGGACUCUCAUUGGUGAACAAGUGUGUCCACUUUUGAAACUCACAAAUAUCAAGCAGUUGACGCAUCCCUGUCAUGUACAAAAUAUUAGGUGAAAAUGUUCUUCCCCACAGUACCCUCUAGUUUUUCAGGUUUGCUCUUCUUUCAUCAUUGCCCACACUUACAUUGGCCUUCUUGGAGGAACCAGAUUCCUCAUUAUCACCAACCUUCCUUUUCACAGAUUUUCUCACACUUUUCUCUUUCUUUGCAGAUUUCUCACACUUUCUCACCAGACUUUUCAGACACCUUCUCACUAGACUUGACACCUCAUUUUCAACUUCCACAGCUUUCAUAGAUGGCUCGCUCCUGGGUUAUGGAAUCACAGGUUUCUUAGAGGACUUACGAAUUAAGGAAGCAUGUUCCUCACUAACCUCUUCAUCGUCAACAUCAACAACAAGUGCUGGAGGUACUUCUUCCUCAUUCACUAGCUUUUCCCCUUUCACCAACCUCCUCAUUUUCUUCUUUUCUUUGUUUUUCUUCAGAACAGUUUCAAGGGCUUCCUUCUUUUACAGCCUGGUAGUGGGUCUUUUAAGAGUAGGCAAAUUAGGAACUGCCCUUCCACUUCUAGCAGCAAUGAAGCUUGCUAUAAGCAUAUCAUCAUAGGCUUCCUCACUAUUUUCAUUUUUCUCUUCAGAUAAAGAUCUCAUCUCAAGAAUGCCAAAGUUUAACGGCUCAACAUAUAAGUGAGGAAAAGGAGCAGGAUCAGUACUGACCUGGGGCUCUUUUGAAGAGAAGGGAGUUUCAUCCCAAGUAGGAGCAGAGGACUCCUCUUGGGCUGAGGGAACAAGUCCCUCAUUUGUUUCCUUAAUAGUACUAUCAGGUCCUAGAUUUUCAAGGGGCACCAGUUUCCUACCCUCUUCCUAAUGACCAUUACCUUCCCCUUGAGACCCAAUGGUCUCAUUAACAUCCUCAUAACCACCAACCAAACUUCCCUCAGCAGCGAUGAACAAUAGGAAUAUUACAUGUGGGGUUGGCAACGUUCAAAUCGAAGCUUGGAAUGAUCGUUGCUGAACCAUCACUACUACGAACCACAGUAUGUUGGGCUUUAGCACUCUCUUCAACUUUCAGACUGGAAACUUUCUGAUCUUCGUCACCAUCUACUAUUUCUCCCUCUUUCAUUUCUCCGAUAAGGUACAAGGCAUAGUCUUAGGAACAAACCUUUUAGAGUUUUGAGUCUUGCGACUCCGGUGAGAACCAAAACUCGAUUGGGUUGGAGAGGAAGUAGUAGGUGGUUUGGGGGUCUGGUGUAGGGUUUUGAAUGGGUGACAAUAGGGGACUUAGACUCUCGUUCUUGUGCUUCGUGAGACGAAGACAUAGUGGGGACUAUACUCGAAACGUUUGGAGCUUCUAGAUUUUCAAACAUAGUGAGGAUUUUUAGUGAUAACAAAAGAUGAGUGGUUAGUUUUGAGAGAAAAAGAGAAUUUUUGUCUUUGAUGUGAAUAGUGAUGAAAGAGACAACGUUUGGGUUUAUUUAAAGAGGGUGAGGGAUCGGUUACAAACGGGUAUAGAUUGCUGGGUAGACGGGUCGUUUAGUAAUUGGUGUGACGUUUGGAUUCUAAAGAGAUGUAAAAAAGAAACUGAAAUUUUAAUGAUGUGGCACUUUUACAACCGUUAACAAAAAUAUGCAUGAGAGUACAAAGGAACUACUAACCUGAGUCAAAGGAACCAUGUUCCCUAACUUAGUUUUAUAAAUGUGAGUCUCAUCCUUUUACCAAGAUGCAAUUACACUAGAUUGCUCUGUAAUUGCCAUGUGUAUCUACCUGUAACGGUAUAGAAAUGAGUUAGAACUUGCCAGAAAACACUUUUUAGUUGUUUUACAUGUUCAGACUUUCAUAUCCAAUCAUUGAGGGACCAAGUGCUUAGUUUGAUUUUAUCAACCCCACUGCCAAUCGAUUCUUCUCAAAGUACUCUCUGCUUAGUGCUUUAGUGAAGAUAUCUGCUACUUAGUCUUCUGUUUUACAGAACUUCACGCAAAUAAGACAUUUUCAACAUUAUCUCUGAGAAAAUGAUGUCGCACAUCAAUAUGCUUUGUUCUCUUAUGAUGAACUAGGUUCGUUACCAUGUUGAGAGCACCGGUGUUAUCACACAAUAAUGGCACACAAUUAGGGAAUACACCAAAGUCCUCCAGUCACUGCUUGAUCCACAACAAUUGAGCACAGCAAGAGGCUAUUGUCACAUAUUCGGCUUCUGCAGUUGAAAGAGCCACAUAUUUUUGCUUCCUUAUACCAUAUGAAAUCAGACACGAUCCCAGAAAAUGUGCCAUGCCAGAAGUGCUUUUUCUAUCCACCAGAUAACCAGCAUAAUCAGCGUCAGCAUACCCAAUCAAGUAUAAAUUAUCUCCUGAAGGGUAGCAGAGAACUAGGUCCUAAGUUCCUUUAAGAUACCUUAGAAUUCUCUUGGCAGCCUUUAGAUGAGAUUCCUUUGGACUAGAUUGAAACCUAGCACAUAAUCCUACAUUGAAUAUGAUAUUUGGUCUACUAGCUAUGCGAUACAAGAGUUAACCAAUGAUACUUCUGUACAUGGUUUCAUUCACAGGAGAAUCAGGUUCAUCUAUGUCCAGACGAGUGGCAGUAGCAAUAGGGGUAUCAAUGAGUUUUGAACUUUCCAUCUCAAAUCUCUUUAGGAACUCUUUAAUGUACUUAUGCUGACUUGUCAUCGUGCCCUUAGGAGUUUGCUUAACUUGCAAUCCCAGGAAAAACUUCAAUUCCCUCAUCAUGCUCAUUUCAAACUCACUUCCCAUAAUCUUUGCAAACUUUUCACACAAGAAAUCAUUUAUUGCACCAAAGACGAUGUCGUCGACAUAGACUUGCAAAAUGAGCAGGUUCCACCCUAGUUUCUUCAGAAAUAGGGUGUUGUCGAUUUUUCCUUUUGUGAAGCCAUUUUCAAGGAGGAAUUUGGACAACCUUUCAUACUAUGCAUGAGGGUCCUGCUUCAGUCUAUAUAAUGCCUUGUCAAGUUUGAAUACAUGCUCAGGAUGCUCAUGACAUUCAAAACCAGGUGGUUGUUUGACGAAGACUUCUUCCUUUAGAUAUCCAUUCAGAAAUGCACUUCUGAUAUCCAUUUAGAACAAUUGGAAUUCCAUAUGAGAUGCAAAGGUAAUGAGGAUUCUGAUGGCUUCUAUUCGAGCAACUGGAGCAAAUAUUUUAUCAUGGUCGAUCCCUUCUUCUUGAUUGUAACCUUGAACUACUAACCUUGCCUUGUUCCUUGUUGUGUUCCCAAACUCAUCAAGUUUGUUUCUGAACACCCACCUAGUUCCUAUAACAGUUCUGUCUGGUGGUCGAGGAACCAGGUUCCAUACGUUAUUCCUGUCAUAUUGAUGGAGUUCAUCUUGUAUAGCAGUAAUCUAGUCAACAUCUUUCAAUACUUCCUGGAUAUGUUUGGGCUCAAUUUGAGAGAGAAAGGCUAAAAAGGCAUGUGAGAUUCUUGACUUUGAUCUAGUUUGAAUCCCUUAGUCAAGAGGAGUGAUCACAUUUUUAAGAUGGUGUGAAUUUGUGUUUCCAGUUAGACACUUGAAUCUCAUUGCGAGAGGAUCCAGGUUCCUCUGAAUAAGAUCCAUUGUAGACAUAAGUGCCACUUCUUAUCUCAACAUCAGGGGUUCCUUGCACAGCAUCAACAACUUUGUUCGCUGCUUCAGUUAUUGUGAUUGAGGGACCGGGUUCCUCUACAUCAGUUGGAGAUACAACUGCGCCAUCUUUAUUUGAUUUCUUGACCUGACUCAUCAUGUCAGCCUUUCCAUUUUCCAUAUCAAUGACUUCACCAGGAACCUUCGACUGCUCUCCGUCUUGACCAACCUUAUCAUGUGAAUCUUUCCCAAAUAGGUAGUGUAAUUUAUCAAAGAACACAUAUAUGCUUUCCACAACACAUUAAGUUCUUUUGUUAUAGACCUUGUAAGCUUUGCUUUGUGAUGAAUAGCCAAUAAAUAUUCCUUCAUCACUUUUGGCAUUAAAUUUUCCCAGUUCUUCCUUCCCGUUAUUGAGAACGAAAUAUUUGCAGCCAAAUGUCCUCAGAUAUGUUAGCUUUGGUUUUCUCUCGUUCAGUAAUUCAUACGGGGUUUUGUUCAAGAGAGACCUGAUCAUGCACCUACUCACCAAGUAGCAUGCAAUGUUGAUUGCCUCUUCCCAAAAACUUUUUGCAACACCACUGUCAAUCAGUAUUGUCCUUGCCAUAUCUUCAAGAAUCCUAUUUUUCCUCUCCAUAACACCAUUUUGUUGGGGUGCUCUUGAAGCUAAAAAAUUAUGACUUAUACCAUUUUCAGCAUAGAAUUCGACGAAUUUUGCGUUGUCGAAUGCUAUGCCAUGAUCAGAUCUUAUACUCACAAUAUUAUGGCUCAUCUUCACUUGAAUCUUCUUCACAAAAGUAGCAAACACUGGAAAGGUUUCAUCAUUGGAGCAAUCAUCCACUAUGAUGAAAAUGUACUUCUUUUCUCCUCUACUUGGCACCCUCAUAGGUCCACACAGAUCCAUAUGGAGGAGAUCAAGUGGGCUUGAGGUGCUUACUUCCUUUUUGGGCUUGAAGGAGAACCUGACUUGCUUUCCUUUCACAUAUGCAUCACACACCUUGUGAUCUUUGAAACUUGACAUAGGCAGCCACGAACCAUGUCCUUCUUGACCAAUUUGCUCAACAACAUAAAACUUGCAUGUCCCAAUCUUCUAUGCCACAGUUCAACAUCAUCAUCUACAACACUCAGACAUGUGAGAUCCCCAUUGUGCAAGGACUCAAAAUCAGCAACAUAAAUGCUUUUGUAUCUUUUUGCCAUCAGAACCACUUCACCAGUCACUAGAUUUGUGACUGUGCAGAUUUUUGACACAAAUUCUACUUUGUUUCCGUUGUCGCAAAUUUGAGAAACACUCAAUAAGCUACAUUUCAAGUCGUUCACAUAAUACAUAUUUUCAAUUGAGUGAGUGAGUGUCUUACUAAUUCUUCUAACUUCCAAAAUGUAUCCCUUUUUGCCAUUGCCAAAGGACACACUCCUUCAUGGCAGGGCUUUGAGUGAAAGGAAAUCAUUGAUGUUUCCACUCAAGUGUGCUUGGAGCAACCACUAUCCAUAUGCUAUUUUUGGCUGCUUCCUUUCACUACUUCUUGCAUAAGAGAAUCAAGGAUUAGACUUAGGAACCCAAACAAGUUUGUGUUCCUUGUGGUGAGGUAAAGGGCGAAUUAAACUUCUUUUUGUCAAGGCAGGAAAUACACGUUUUUAACGGAAGGACCAGGUUUCUUAGUAGCAGUUACCUUUUCAACAAAAACCUUAUUUUUCUGUUAGGAUUGAAUCCUAGCCUUACAAUUUUCUUUAAAGUGUCCAGUUUUGCCACAGUGAGUGCAAAACCAGCUAUCAGGGACAGUAACAUACUUGCUAUGUAAAGCUUCGGGAGUCUUUUCCUUUUGGAACCCGACUCCCUGCUUGCUCUCACCCAUUGUUUGUAUACAUGGCAGUAAUUGUAUUAGAGGACCAGGUCCACUUUAGAGAUUUUUCUAGGUCAUUUUUAUCGCUCCCACCAUUAUUUGUUUCAUUUUCAAGCUUAAUGUGUGACUCACUUGCAACUUCCUUUCCCUUCUGGAUAAUCCCAGAACGGUUUUUCCUUUUUAAUUCCUCUAUUAUUUCUUUUAGGUCCAUAACAACUACCAACACGUCAUCUCUCUCAUUUUCUACAUUUUUAAUUUUUUUUGUAAGAACAUCCUUUUCUUACUUUAGAACCUUGAUGGUUUCUUUUAGGUCAACCACUACGACUACCAAAUCAUCUCUCUCAAUUUCUAUCUCUCCUAGUUCCACAGUUAAUGCAUUUUUAUCAUUUAUAAGACUGUGAUAAGCAUCAAUUAAAAUAUUUGCCAAAGAUAUAAGCUUCUUCUAAGAGUAAGACUUCAAAUUUCUUUGAACGUCUAGAAAGUUUACCUCAUUAUCAUCAUCUUCAUCAUCAUCAGAGUUUUCCAUCAAGGCAAAGAUGGAGUCAUAUUCAGCUACUUCACUUUCCACUGCCAUCAUGGAGCUAUCACCUUGUCCAUCAUCUUCUCCAUAUUCACUGGAAGAGUCUCCCCAUGCAGCAAGAGCUUGUUUCACAAUAUUGUCAGCGACAUCUUUUCUCUUGAAUCUUUUGUCAGGAACUGGGUUCCUCUUUGCUGCUUUGUCUUUGUUAUGCUUGUACUGGUCUUGCUUGAGGAGAAGACAAUCCUUGAUGAAGUUUCCUGGAUUCCCACAUUUAUGACAUAAGUCAUACCCUUUUGGCUUGCUGGAGCUACCCCUUUUUAGAAUACCCCCAUUCCUGCAAACCAUUUUCUGAAAUCGCUUUGUCAGGUAAGCCAUAUCAGCAUCCUCAUCACUUGAGUCAUUGUUGUCAGCCUUAAGGACCAGGUUCUUCUCCUUCUUUGGUUCUCUUCUUUCAUGGUUCUUCUUUUUCUUCAUUUCAUAUGUCUUCAGAUUUUCAAUGAGUUCAUUAAUGGUCAGCUUUUCUAGAUCUUUUGCCUCUAUGAUAGCAUUGACUUUGCUUUCCCAGGAACUAGGUAGUACACUAAAUAUUUUCCUGGCAAGUUUGUUCCUUGGAAUGAUAUCUCCUAUAGAGUGAAGCUCAUUGAUGAUGGAGAUGAAUCGAGUGUGCAAGUCCUGAAUGGAUUGACAAGCAGAGCUUCGACUGCUGUACUUGAAUUGUUCCUUCAUGUGUCGUUUGGAGAGCUUCCCAGAUCUCCUUGGCUUAUUGACAAAAAGAGAUCAUGUUGUUUUCGUCUGGUCCAAUACCACAGACGAGGAUCUUUUUUUCUCGGAAGUUCUUCUCUAUAGCUUUUCGAUCAACAUCGCUUUAUUCCUUCCGUGUUUUAGGAACUGUCACUGCUGGUUCGUCAAUGUCUUCAUAAGGAUGAAGGGUCCAUCACAGAUAAUAUCCCAGAGCUCUGAGUCUUUAGCCAUAAUAAAAUCAUGCAUCCUUGUCUUCCACCUUCCAUGGUACUUUCCAUUGAAUUUUGGUGGUCUGUAGGUUGAUUGACCUUCUUCAAAGUUUGGUGGAGCAGCCAUUUGGAUCAUUCCUAGGUGUUAGCCUGAUAGAAAGAACCUGCUCUGAUACCAAUUGAUUCAACACCAAACUAUAUAGAGAAUCUGGUUCUCUAUCAAUUCCCACAGAAUACAUACAAUAAGAGAUAAGUAAAUGACACAAUAGAGUUUUACGUAAAAAACUCCCAGCUCACGGGAUUAAAAACCACGACCUACACUCGUAGGAUUUCAACUUCACUAACCGAGCAACUUUUAGAUUACAACCUAUUGUAACCUAGGAAUUAAACUCUUAAUCACUCACUCACUUGUAAUAAUUCUAUUACAAGAUUCUUUGUAAUAACUCUAUUACAAAGCUCACAACUCGACUAAUCCUAGCCAAGACAAAAAAACACAAGAUUUGUGGUUUUAAAAAUGGUUUCCUACACAAUGCUUCUAACUAAGCUAAGUAAGAAUUACAAGUAAAUCACUCUAACAAAGGUUCAACAUAACUAAGGACAUAUAAUAACACAAUGCUAGAAACUAGUCCUUCGUUAUGUUGUUCUUUGUUCUUGAAACCUGAAAGUCACUUGCAAGAUGGCAACACACUUGAGAGGAAACUUGAUUAAUUCUCAGAUGUGCAAGUGUGUUAAUAAUAUCCAAGUGAUGUCACCUAGAUGAUGCAAGCAAUAUUCGGUACAAGGCAUUCCCCAUAAAGUGGUUGUUGCACUGUUCACACUGUUGCGUGUGUGUAGAGGAAUAGUUGCAGCAGCUUUACAACUGUGAGCAGUUGACUGGUACAGUCGGCAAAGGGAACUGAUGUUCAUUUGUUCCCUCUGUCGUCUCUUUGACUCAGAUUGUUGGAAUUUGUGCCCGACUUGAGACUUGUUGUUUUUAAGCAGUUUGAGGAUGUGUAACAGGUUUUCCAUAUAUUCUGAUCAUUAAGUUUGUUAGAUCAUCAAAACAUAACUGGACACAUGGCCUACCAUCUUCUCAUUCUAUAUAACCUACUAGAGAAACGAUAGUAAAACUAACGUACAAAGGCAUUGCAAGGCUAACCCUGCAAGAUUGUUCGAAGGCAUUAUAAAGCUAACCUCGCAAAAUUCCUUCCAAAUAGCAUCCUAAUGUUUUUUCAUUUAUAGAAAAAACUAUUAUGUCAAUAUUUUAUUAUUCAUCAUUGCUCAAACUUUGCAAUAAAGGAGCGGAUGUCAAACCUCCUUGAGGUUUCCAAAACUACAAAAUCAAUAAAAAAUUAUAAAUUCUGCGAAAAUCCUAGAUUCCUUCUUGUUACUCCCUCCGGUAGAGGUGGCGUUUGUGCAGUUCAGAUUGAAUAUGAAAAUUUCGAUUUGGAUAUUCGAUUUUCGGAUUAAAUUAAUGACAAUCCAAAUCCAAUCCAAAUAAGUUCGGAUUGGAUCGGAUUUUUUAAGUUCGAUUUUGGAUUAAUUGGUUUGGAUAUUUUGAAUUCUCGAUUUUGAGCAUAUAAGUUUAGAUGCUUCUUUUUCUCGCACAAAUAAACAUCCAAAUAAAGUAUUCAUAUUAGAUUACCUAAAAAGUUCCUCAUUCUCACUGCGAUCAUCCAAAUUAAGUUUUCAAGUAAUGAAAUCAUUAUCAAGGAAAUACACACAAAGACAUUAAUAAGGCCAAUAAAAAGUAGCAAUAGUAAAACUAUAUAUGUCCAAAUAAAAAGUAUUAUGACAGUAACUUAGUAAUUAGUAUUGAAUAUAUGAGAUCAUGCCUAAUAGGUAGGGUCUUGGACUUAUUACUAUUGGCAUAUGGAUAUUAAAUACGAAGUAUAAAAUUUUUGAAUUUUCGGAUAUCCAUGAAUCUAAAGUACCAAGUCCAAUAUCCAAUCUGAAAUCCAAAAAAAUUAAAAAUUAAAUCUGAAAUCCAAUUCGUAAUCCGAAAAUCCAAACCCAAAAUCCAAAAGCUUCGAACUUCAGUUUGGAUUUCGGAUUUGCCCAAACUAUGCCAACCUCUAUCCUCUGGUUCAUUUUAAUUGAUUUUUUAAGCUAUUUUCAUACAUAUUAAGAAAUCUACUUCGUAACAUUAAUUAACAAUGAAAUUGACCAUAUCAAUCUUGAUUUGUUCAUUGAAAAUACAAUAAAUACUCCUAGGCUCAUUACUCCAAGGACAAUUUAAAAAAAAAAUUAAUUCCUUCUUGAUAUAUAAAAAAAUCAAAUAUUGUGGACUAACAAAAAAGGCAAUCAAUCAAAAUGAACGAGGGAAUAUUCAAUUUAAUUAUUGGCAAGUCUAAUUAAGUACAUAACGAAGUAUCAACGUGGCAAGUCUAAUUAAGUACAUAACGAAGUAUCAACGUUAAUACCAGUAGCUAGGUGGUGCAAGUUAGUUCGGACGUCAUAAUUAUAAAAAAAAUAACACCCCAAUAGCUAGCAUCGAAAGAACAAUUUCAUCUACAAAUCACAACCACAUGAACACAACAUCGGAAGUAGACAGAAGAAAAAAACAUACAAUUCAUAGUCACCCUCUUUUUAUAUAUCAUUGAUCACCUCUACAACGAUAAUACUUAGAACAACCUCUAUUAUACGGAUUCGACGGCGGGGGAAGACAGCGUCGCGAAUACGGUUCGCCGCCACCGCCGCUGUUACAAACCGGCUGAUCUCUUUUCAGAGCUCCAGGAGAAAUAUACUUUUUUCUUUCUUCAAGAAAUCUUCUACUAAUAUCAGACUCCAUUAAUAUCUCCAACUCUUCAUUACACUCAGCUAUUGUACCAUUGCAUGGUGAUUGGCCUGUUACAGAUGCGAUUAUAAAUAAAAGCGUAAGAAAAAUAGUGAAGAAAUAUAUAAGUUUUGUGAAAAUUGGAGCUUCCAUUUUUUGGUUUUGUGUGAAUGGUAUAGUUGGUUCUAUUUUUUGUAGCUGUCCUUAUAGUGACUUUAUUUUGCUUUACUUGAUAGUGGAAGACACACUAAGAAGCAGAGGGACCGCACUAUUCACCGACCAAAACCCACUUUUAUGAAGAUACAUUAAUAUAUAAAUAUGAUUGUGAGCUUUGAAAUAGUUUAAAUAAAUAGUUGUGAGAAAUUAAUUAUACGGAAAAAGUUAUGUAAAAUUGAGCACAUUUGUCAUUCGUUAAUAUUUUAGCUCAGGAUUGUCCUUAUCGUCACAUAGUUAAUUCAUAUAUGCCCUUAGAGUCAUACAGUUUGCCCAUAUAUGUCCUUUUUGAAACGAAAUCCACUCAAACUAAUUAGCUCUUUCGUUAAUUGUAUUAAAGUAUAUUACAAAUACUAUUUCAUUUUUAUUAAUAUUUUUUUUCUUUAUCUUUCUUUUUUUCUUUCUUCUUUUUUUCUUUUCUUCUCUUUUUUUUUCCUUUUUCUUUCUACCUUAUCCGAUUUCCUCCAUUGCUCAUGUCUUCUCCAUUUUCGUCACCAAUUUCACUUGACAAAACUCAUGAAUUCCAAUUACUAAGAAAAAUCUCUCAUAAGGUAAUCAAGUUACAAUUUCACUAGCCCUCUAAAUAAACGAACUUAAAUAGUUCCAAAAAUUAUGGUUUAAACUUUAAAAUAAUAAAAAUAUCUCAACCUUUAACAAUCAAAAGACCAAAAUAUUUAAAUUAUUUCCAAAAAGAUAAUUUAAUGAUUAAAAGCCUAGAGUUCAAGUUCUAGUAUUAUAAAUUUAAGUUGUUAGUCUUUUUUCAUCUUUUUUUCAGCUCUAUAUUUUCUAUUUUUUUUAUUAACUAUGUAAAUUAGGGGUGUACAUGGAACGUGUUGGUUCGAUUUUUAUCAAAACCAAACCAAACUAAUUAUAUCGGUUUUGUUAGAUUUUUCGGGUUUUUUGUUACAUAAAUAUUAUUUCAAUCUUACUUUGUUAAAUUGUUUAGAACUAAAUAUAUAUUCGGUAAAAAUUUAAAAACUGACAAACAUAUGAUCUAUUAAAAUAUUCUUAUGGGAGAAUUUUUUUAGUAAUUAAAAUUCAUGAGUUUUGUCAAGUGAAAUUGAUGACGAAAAUGGAGAAGACAUCAGCAAUGGAGGAAAUCGGAUAAGAGAGAAAGAAAAAGGAAAAAAAAAAAGAGAAGAAAAGAAAAAAGAAGAAAGAAAAGAGCAAAGUAAAGAAAAAAACUACUAAUAAAAAAUAAAUAGUGUUUGUAAUACACUUUAAUACAAUUAACGAAAGAGCUAAUUAGUUUGGGUGGAUUCCGUUUCGAAAAUGGCAUAUAUGAGCCAACUGUGUGACUCUAAGGGCAUAUAUGGACCAACUAUAUGACGGUAAGGGAAUUCUUGAGCUAAAGUAUUAACGAAUGACAAAUGUGCUCAAUUUCGUAUAGUACAAGAACAUAUUUGGAUAUUUUCCGUUAAUUAUAUGUUGUAUGUAAGAAAAUAAUAGUAAUACAUUUCUAAGAAAAGUAUUCAAAGUUUUCAUUGAUUAGUAAGCUUUGAGAUCUUAAAGAUGUCAUUGAGAAUCGUCAUUAAUCAAUCAUGUAUACGACCGGGGACGGCUCAAUCAAAUUGGUGGCCUCAAGCAAAACCUAUAAAGAGGCCUUAAGCUUUUCUUGAAAAAUAUUCACAUAGACUUUUAUCUAAAGUAAACUUUCUACUUUUUAAGAUGCAACGUCGUUAAUAAGGUUUUAUAAUUGAUUCUCUUUAUAUUUCUUUUUCAGUUGACAAUUUAACUAAUUAAUCUAAUUUUCUUAAGACAUUGCUUAAAUAGCUCAUUUUUUAGAUUAUAUUGAAGUUCAGUUCUCCUCUUUUUUUCCUUUUUGUGUGUUUUGAGUAAUUAAUCUGAUUAUAUUUUUAGUUGAGACAUUUGAACUCUAAUAUUUAAUAGAAAGCAAUAUAGACCUAUAAGCUAAAUCUAUCAGUGCUAAAAUUUAAUUAUAAGAUAAAAGAAAGUUAGAAUAAUAUAACUUGAUUCUAGAAGUUGAUAACUUGAUAUUACUAUAAAUUUUCACUAAUUCAAUUGGCUUGUUGUAAUACUUGAAAACUUUAAGAAAUGAAAAGGAACGCACGAUUUAAUUUAUCCAAUUCCAUUGUCCUAAUUUUUGAGAGAAUAGAUAGCUUAACGGGAAGAAAGAAGGAAAGUACGCGAUACAAGUUUUAUUAUGAGAAAUGAAAUGAAAAUUUUCAAUUGUCACCAUUAUUCACAAAGUUAAAUGGUUCUCUUUUAUUUUUUAAAUAAAAAAUCUUAUAUUGUACCAUGCAAUAGUCAAUACUAUUUUGUUAAGAAAGAUUAACUAUAAAAACUAUAUUAUUAAUAAAAAUGGAGCCUCAAAAGUUGGGGCCUCAAAUGCCGGAGGGCCCAAAGCCUUUGCUUUAGUGGGUUGACCCUCCAGCCGGCCAUGUAUACGACGUGUCAUUGCAUCUCUGAAGUUGAUUGAACUCCCUAUCGACUUGCAACUACUAAGGAAAAUAGCUAUAAGCUGACCAUUUUUAAGUCCGUUUCUGAUACUAUUGUAGUUUCAGAUAAACAUUCUAGCUUAGCUAGUGAUCAAAUAGACACAUCAACAAAAGCACCUUCACCCACGACCGUUAGGUCCUGGGUUCGAGUCACGCUUGAGGAAAAAUAUGAAAAUACUAUAGAUGCUCUUAAUUUGGGAAAGGAUUAAAAACAAUAGACACAUCAACUCAACAUAAAAUGUGUCUCUUAUUGCAUGCAUGUCAUCACAUUCCUUGGGAAUUUGAAACAAAUUUUGCAUUUUUAUUGUAGCUAAAAUAAAAGUGAUCGCAUAUAUUAAAAAAAGGCUAUCUGGUGCACUAAGCUUCCGCUACCACGGGAUUUGGAGAAGGGUCGGACUACAAAUGUCUAUUGUACGCAGUCUUACCUUGUAUUUCUACGAGAGUUUAUUUUCACGGCUCGAACAAGUGAUCACAUACGAUUAGUAUAAUGUGAAACCAUCAUCAUAUGAGACAUGCCAUCCUUGCCUACAAGGUGGAGCAUUGUCAUCAUACUCAGAACAACAGCUCCAUCUCUUUUACAAGUUUUUUCUUCCUGUAUUUGGCCUCUUAUCCUUGUCGUUCCAUUUAUAGACGAUUACUCCAGAUCCGUCGCUCCAUCCUCCAUCGAUUCCUUGGUGAGGCGAAGCCAGAGAAAAUAGUCCUUUAUCUCCUAUUGAUGCUUAAAAGCAACCAUCCAUAUAGAUAAGAUGAUCAAAGUUUAAAUAGCAGCGAAAGAAAUUAACGAAUAGAAGCUAAAAAGUCAAGUGACUCACUAAUCAUGCAUAAAUCUCACACAACUGAUUAAUUUCCCACAGUAAACACUACUGAAAAAUGUCUUCUAUUCACUUCAAAAUAUUGGAUUUUUGUACCCUUAAACUAAGAGAUUCAGCAGUGAAAUAGAAAAUGAAAGCAACGGUACUAGGAUUAAGGGAAAAGGGUCCAUAUAAAGGAAGAAUUUUCAAACAAUCAAUUUGAUCUGGUGAGAUAAGGUCUGCGUACAUACUACUCUCCCCAGGUUGUGGGAUUAUACUGGUUUAUGUUGUUGUUAUCCAUUAUGAUAAGGACAAGAGUCACUGAUCUAGAUAAAAGUUUACUAUACCAUUCAGAGAAAAUGACAGGACAUCAAGGCAACUCAACUAAUUCACCUAAAUCUACCAUCUAUGUUGCUCGAAUUCUUCAAAAAUACAAUCGCACCCGUCUCGGAUCCUCUAGAAAUGGUACACUUUUGGAAGCAUUUUUAAGAGUGCAAGCAAAAUGUGCAUAGCUCCACAACUUAAAAAUAAAUGACAGGACAUCAUGGUAACUCAAACAAUGGUAUUCACCUAAACCUAUGGCUUUUAGAAUCUAUGAAAACUACAUGCAUAGCUCCAGAAAAUAGAACUCACACAGUGGCAAUUCUAGAUAUACAAAUGUAUGGCAUACCUACAUUGCUCGGACUCUUCAUGUGAUGACCCGAUAGGUCAUCUCGUGUUUUGAAGCCUAAUUAUGUGAUUCGAAGCCUUAAAAUUAUGUUUGGCCUUCCUCGAUUUGAGUGCACAGUCCGGGCGUCUUCCUGGAAAGCUUUUAUGUUAAAAACUGAGAAAAUUAAGAAUGUUUGCCUAAAAACUUCAUUUGAGUCGACUUCGGUUAACAUUUUUAGUAAACAGACCCGGAUUCAUAUUUUCACGAUCUCGGUGGGUCCGUACUACGAUUUGGGACUUGGGCUUAUGCCAGGAAUCGAAUUUGGAAGUCCCUAACCCGAGAUAUCGAACUUGUCGAAGUUUGAAAGUUAAAGGCUUAAUGAAUUUGACAUGUUUGACCUAAUUUUGACUUUUUGGAUAACGGGUCCGUAUUUUAGUUUUGGAAUCCGGUAUCGGUCCAAUACCAUAUAUAUGACUUGUCUGUGAAAUUUGAUGAAAAACGGAAUUGGUUUGAUGUGAUUCGGACGUCCGGUUGUGAAAGUCGAGAUUUCAAAGUUUUCUUGAAAAAUUACAUUUGAUUUGGUGUUCAAUUCAUAGUUUUAGGUAUUAUUUUGGUAUUUUGAUCACGCGAGAAAGUUCGUAUGAUUUUUUAAACUUGCUUGCAUAGCUGGUUUGUAGCCCCGAGGGUUCAAGUGAGUUUCAGAUAGGCUACGGGGUGAAAAUUAGACUUAGAGCAUUGCUCGUGUUUCAGUUUCUGGUGUAAGCCUCCGAUCUCGCAAAUGCUAGAUCAGACAUCGCAUUUGUGACCUCUGCAGGUUCCUCAUUUGCGAGCUAUUUCUCGCAUUUGCGAAGAAUAGCUGGGCCUCAUGACUUUUGCAUUUGCAAACAUUAUCUCGCAUUUGCGAUGGGAGUUGAGGGGGCUACUCUUUGCAUUUGCGAUCACCGGGUCGCAUUUGCGGUCUUGCCUGGGUUCGUGUUUGCGAACUGUCCUUCACAUUUGCGAAGAAUGCAGAAGUGUGAUAUUCUCGCAUUUGCGAUGUAACCUUCGUAUUUGUGGGCUUCGCAUUUGCGAAGCCUAGGUCACAAAUGCGACAUCUACAGCUGAAGAAAUAGGACUUAGAUGGGAUUUUGAUUCAUUCUUUAAAUUUUCAAACCUAAAAACACAAGAGACGAUUUUCCAAAGAACUUUUCAUCCCCAAAUCAUUGGUAAGUGAUCUUAAACUAAUUUCUUUCAAUAUUCCACUACUCUUUCCUAAGAUUCAACCUAAAAUCUAAAGUUUUCAUGGUGGAAUUGGGUUUUUUUAAUGUAUAAACUAGGGAUUUGGAAAAUUAGAGAUUUAGACCUCAAAUUGAGGUCGGAUUCUAAAAUAAAUUACAUAACCGGACUCGGGGGUAAAUGGGUAAUCGGGUUUUGGUCCGAAUUUCAGAUUUGGACCAAGAGGGCCCGGGUGUUGACUUUUGUUGAUAUUUUCAAACAUGGGCUAAAUUGAAUUCUUUACAAUCGUGGGUAUUUCCUAAGUCUUAAAUCUAAUUGUUUGGUUGGUAAUUUGCUAUAUUCUAUCGGUUCGGAGGCUUGUGUGAAAGGAAAUGUCGUGGUUGAGCUUUGAGUUUGGGACGUUGGAGUGAGGUAAGUGUCGUGGUUAACCUUGAUUAAGGGAAUAAGAAUUGUUUGCCUAUUUGCUGCUUGUUUAAAUUGUUAGGAAUAACGUAUAUGUGAGGUGACAAGUACUUAUGCGGUGUAGUUUGGUUAAAGCAUGGGGGUGGAAUGUGGUUUCUUGGAAAUUUAGCUUCCAUUGUUCAUGUUAUCCAUGUUUGGACUAGUAUUAUUAAAUCGAUCGCUUUUAUCAUGCUUACGAAUCUUUUAGUGGUAAUUGAGUAUUGAUUUCGAAUUUGUGGUUGACAUUGUGGAAGUAAGGCUUAUACUUGUUAUUUUAUCUCCAUAUUGUUGUUAUUCAUUGUAUUAUGGUAAGGGAGAGUGUUAAUGUACGAAGGGUGAUGCCGUGCCAUUUUUAUUGAUUUUAUGGUGAGAUUGAGAGUGUUAAUACACGAAGGGUGAUGUCGUGCCAUAUUGUAAGUGUAAUGUACGAAGGGUGAUGUCGUGCCAUGAUAUGAGAGUUAAUGCACGAAGGGUGAUGUCGUGCCAUAAUAUGAGAGUUAAUGCACGAAGGGUGAUGUCGUGCCAUUUCUAUUAAUUUCAUGGUGAGAAUGGGAGUAAAAGCACGAAGGGUAAUGUCGUGCAUUCUUCUUUUACCUGUUCACUGGUUCCUAUUGGUUCAUAGUAUGUUUGUUGUUCACAUUAUCAUUCUGUGGUAGUUCUUUAUCUCGUAUUCCCCUCAGCAUGUUCCCCUCUCCAGGCAUUACUUGUCUAGUUCUUCAUUACUGUUAUUUGUAUAUAUAUUGUUAAAUUAUACAUGUUUGAUUUGUAGGUGUCUUGUCUUAGCCUCGUCACUACUUCAUCGAGGUUAGACUCGACACUUAUCAGUACAUGGGGUUGGUUGUACGGAUACUGCACUCUGCACUUUCUGUGCAGAUUUUGGUACCGACUCUGGCUGAUUGAGAGAUUAGCUGUCGGAUUUGCUAUCAGGAGACCCAAGGUAGAUCUCUCGGCAUUUGCAAACCCUCGAGUCUCUUCUUAGUUUUAUCUUUUACUAUUUUCCUACUUCAAAACAAUGUAUUUUCCCUUCUUCAGACUAUGUUUGUAGUAAUCUUAGUAGCUCGUGAAUUGUGACUCCAGAUCUGGAUGGUUGUAAAUGUUGAAGCCUUUAUAUUAUUUUGUAUUCGCUGUAUUUCAUCUUAAUUUAUUGUUGUUGUUGACUGAAUUGAAUAAGGUUUAGCUUAAUAAUACUCUAACGUUGGCAUGCCUAUCAAGUGGGAUGUUAGGCUCCAUCACAGUCCCGACAGAUAAGUUGGUAUCAGAACACUAGGUUGCCUAGGUCUCACGAUUCACGAGUGAGCUUAAUAGAGUCUGGGGAUCGGUACAGAGACGUCUGUACUUAUAUCCCACUGGUUAUGAAGUUUAGGAACAAAUUUCACUUUUAUUAUUCUCUGUCGUGCGAUUUUGUUUUCUCAAUACUGAUUGAACUUUUCUAUUCUUAUUCUCUCGCAGAUGGCGAGAACACGUACCUCUUCUUCAGCUGAGUAGCUGCCAGAGCAUGGAGUGGCAGCUCCUACGAGGGGCAGAGGUCGAGGCCAAGGCCGUGCUAGAGGCCGAGGUAGGGGCAGGGCUCAGCCCAUAGCCCCAGCAGCAGCCUCAGCAGUGGAGACUCAUGUAGAGUUUAAGGAGGAGGCUCCAGCCUAGACUGCUCCUGUCGGGCCAGAUUAGGUUUCGGAGGGGUUCAUUGCCACCCCAGUGCUUCAGGACGCUCUGGUCCGUUUGGUGGGCCUUAUGGAGUGUGUGACCCAUACUAGCACAUUUCCCACGGUACCAGCCGUCUCUCAGGAUGGAGGAGGAGAAAAGACUCCUGCUACUCACACUCCGGAGCAGAUGGCUCCCCAGUAUCAGACUCCAAUAGCUCAGCCAGUUAGAGUAGUUUAGUCGGUUAUUGCGGUACAGGCCGGUGAGGGGCCAGCUAAAUCUUCUGAGGCUUUAUGGAGAUUAGACAAGUUCACCAAGCUCUUUCUAGUUCAAUUCAGUGGUGCAUCUUCAGAGGACCCCUAGGAGUAUCUUGACAUUUGUCAUGAGGUUCUACGGAACAUGGGUAUAGUGGAGACCAAUGGGGUCGAUUUUGCUGCCUUUCAGAUGACUGGUUCUGCCUAGAAAUGGUGGAGAGAUUAUUUGUUGACUAGACCAGUGGGGUCGCCUGCUCUUACUUGGGACCAGUUCUCUCAGCUCGUCUUGGAGAAGUUUCUCCCUAUCACAUUGAGGGAGGAGCAUCACCGUCAGUUCUAGCGUCUUCAGCAGGGCAGUAUGACUGUUACUCAGUAUGAGACCCAUUUUGUGGAUUUAGCUUGCCAUACUCUUCUUCUACUUUAUACCGAGAGAGAUAGGGUGAUGAAGUUUAUUGAGGGACUUGCUCAGCCUAUCAAGUUGCAGAUGGCUAAGGAGACUGAGAGUGAGAUUUCUUUUUAGGAGGCUGCCAAUAUCGCCAGGCGAGUUUAGAUGGUUCUUGCUCAGGGAGGUCAGGGGUCUAACAAGAGACCUCGUCAUUCCGGUGGGUUCAGCGGUGCCUCGUCUGGAGGCAGGGGUCCGUUUCAUUCAACACUUCAGACAUCCCACUGUGCUCCAGGUGGUCGUGGCCCUCAUAUGCCUUAUUCCGAUCAGCUAGCCUACAGUGGACCACCAGCUCCUAUCCGUGCACCUCCGCUCCAGAGUUUUCAGGGUGGUUACUCAGGUUGACAGGGUCAGUUUCAUGGCCAGCAGUCACAGCAGUCGAGGUCUUGUUAUACUUGUGAUGAUCCGAGGCACAUUGCUAGAUUUUUCCCUCGUGCAUCAAGCAGUUCACAGCAUCAGGGUUCUCGUGCCAUGGUCCCAGCACCGGGUGCUGCACCGCCUGCUCAACCAGCUAGAGGUAGGGGUCAGGCAGCCAGAGAUGGUGGUCCUACUAUUAGAGGUGGAGGUAAGACCACUAGAGGUAGAGGCCAGCCAACCGGGGGCCAUCCUAGAGAUGUAGUUCAGAGUGGUGAAGCACAACCCCAAUGCUAUGCUUUUCCAGCCAGGCCUGAGGCUGAUUCAUCCGACGUCGUUAUCACAUGUACUAUUUUAGUUUGCAGUAGAGAUGCUUCAGUUCUAUUUUAUCCGGGUUCCACUUACUCCUAUGUGUCAUCUUAUUUUUCUUCAUAUUUGGUUGUGCCUCGUAAUUCUUUGAGUGCCCCUGUAUAUGUGUCCACACCUAUGGGGGAUGCUAUUGUUAUAGAUCGAGUUUAUCGUUUGUGUGUGGUAAUCAUUGGGAGUCUUGAGACUAGUGUAGAUAUUCUACUUCUCGACAUGGUUAAAUUUGAUGUUAUACUGGGUAUGGAUUGGUUGUCAUCUUUCCACACUAUAUUGGACUGUCAUGCCAAGACGAUGACCUUAGCCUUGCUGGGGUUGCCUUGAUUAGAGUGGAUAGGGACUCCUGGCCAUUCUACCAGCAGGGUUAUAUCUUAUAUGAAGGCUCGGCAUAUGAUCGAGAAGGGGUGUUUAGUCUAUUUGGCUUAUGUUCGUGAUUCUAGUGCAGAGGUUCCUUCCAUGGAUUCCGUGCCAGUUAUUUGUGAGUUUCCAGAGGUAUUUCCUGCAGACCUUCUGGGGAUGCCACCCGAUAGAGAUAUUGAUUUCUGUAUUGAUUUGGCCCCACGCACUUAGCCCAUUUCCAUUCCUCCAUACCUUAUGGCCCCGCCAGAGUUGAAGGAAUUGAAGGAACAGUUGCAGGAUUUGCUUAAUAAGGGCUUCAUUAGACCUAGUGUCUCGCCCUGGGGUGCACUGGUGUUGUUUGUGAAGAAGAAAUAUGGAUCUAUUAGGAUGUGUAUAGAUUAUCGGCAGUUGAAUAAAGUCACUAUCAAGAAUAAGUAUCCAUUGCCGAGGAUUGGUGAUUUUUUUGAUCAGCUUCAGGGUGCCAAGGUAUUUUCGAAGAUUGAUUUGAGAUCUGCUACCAUCAGUUGAGGAUUAGGGCAUCUGAUGUCCCUAAGACAGUUUUUCAGACUCGGUAUGAGCAUUAUGAGUUUCUAGUGAUGUCCUGGAUUGACAAAUGCCCCAACAACUUUCAUGGAUUUGAUGAACUGAGUGUUCAAGACUUAUUUGGACUCCUUUGUGAUUGUGUUUGUUGAUGAUGUCUUGAUCUAUUCCCGCAGCCGAGAGGAUCAUGAGAAGCAUCUUAGGGUUGUGCUUCAUACUCUGAGAGACAGCCAGUUAUAUGCCAAGUUUUUGAAGUGCGAGUUUUUGUUGGAUUUAGUCGCCUUCUUGGGGAAUGUUGUUUCAGCAGAGGGCAUUUAGGUGGAUCCUAAGAAGAUUGAGGUAGUUCAGAGCUGGCCUAGACCCACUUCAGCUACGGAGAUCAGACGUUUCUUGGGUUUGGUGGGCUAUUACCAUCAAUUUGUGGAGGGGUUUUCAUCUAUAGUAGCCUCAUUGACCAGGUUGACCCAAAAGGGUACCCCGUUCAGAUGGUCAGACGAGUGUGAGGUGAGAUUUCAGAAGCUCAAGACAACUCUGACUACAGCGUCGGUGUUGGUGAUGCCCACAGGUUUAGGAUCUUACACAGUCUAUUGUGAUGCAUCUCGUGUUGGGUUCGGUGCAGUAUUGAUGCAGGCGGGCAGGGUGAUUGCAUAUGCGUCGAAGCAGUUGAAGGUUCAUGAGAAGAAUUACCAUGUCCAUGACUUAGAGUUGGCAACCAUUGUUCAUGUGCUGAAUAUUUGGAGGCACUACCUUUACAGCGUGUCAUGUGAGAUUUUCACUCAUCAUCGGAGCCUUCAGUAUUUGUUCAAGCAAAAGGAUCUCAAUUUAAGGUAGAUGAGGUGCUUGAAGUGGGAAGGAUAAUGUGGUGGCUGACACAUUGAGUAGGAAGGCAGCGAGUAUAGGUAGCGUUGUGUUAAUUACAGUCGGUGAGAGGCCGCUUGCAUCAGAUGUUCAGACUUUGGCCAACCAGUUUGUGAGGUUGGAUAUUUCAGAUCCCAGUCGUGUUCUAGCUUGCAUAGUCGCUCAGUCUUCUUUGUUUGAGCGCAUCAGAGAUCAACACUAUGACGACCCUCAUUUGUUGGUCCUUAGGGACAUAAUGUGGGAUAGUGGUGCCAAGCAGGUUACUGUUGGUGAUGACGGGGUCUUGAAGAUGCAGGGUCGUGUUUGUAUGCCUAAUGUGAAUGGACUUCGUGAGUUGAUUCUUGAGGAGGCCCACAGCUCCCUGUAUUCUAGUCAUCCGGGCCCCACAAAGAUGUAUUAGGACUUGCGGCAACAUUAUUUAUGGAGGAUGAUGAAGAAGGAUAUAGUUGCCUAUGUAGCCCAGUGUCUAAAUUAUCAUCAAGUGAAGUAUAAGCAUCAGAGACCCGGCGGUUUGCUUUAUAAGAUAGAGAUUCCUAAGAGAAAGGGGGAACGUAUCACUAUGGAUUUUGUUGUUGGACUCCCGCGGACUCAGAGGAAGUUCGAUGGAAUUUGGGUCAUUAUGGACAGGCUGACUAAGUCAGCGCAUUUCAUUCAUGUGGCAAUCACCUAUUCUUCAUAGCAGUUUCCAGAGAUUCAUAUCUACGAGAUCGUCUCUCUUCACGGUGUGCCCGUGUCUAUCAUUUCUGAUCAAGGCAUGCAGUUCACCUCGUACUUCUGGAGGGUAGUACAGCGUGACUUGGGCACGCGGGUUGAGUUGAGCAUAGCGUUUCAUCAUUAGACGCACGGAUAGUCCAAGCGCACUAUUCAGAUCUUAGAGAAUAUGCUCUACGCAUGUGUUAUAGACUUCGGAGGAUCGUGGGAUCAGUUCUUGCCCCUUGCAGAGUUCACCUACAACAACAGCUACAAGUUGAGCAUUCAGAUGGCUCCCUAUGAAGCAUUAUAUGGUAGGUGUUGUCGGUCACCAGUUGGGUGGUUCGAGCCGGGGGAGGCUCGGUUGUUGGGCACAAAUCUAGUAUAGAAUGCCUUAAAUAAUGUCAAGAUUAUUUAGGAUCGACUUCGCAUAGCUUAGUCGAGGCAUAAGAGCUAUGCCGACCGUAGAGUUUAUGAUAUUGUAUUCAUGGUCGGGGAGAGAGUGUUGCUCUAGGUAUCACCCAUGAAGGGUGUAAUAAGGUUCAGAAAGAAGGGCAAACUGAGCCCUAGGUAUAUCAGACCUUUUGAGAUUCUGGAGAAAGUGGGAGAGGUGGCUUACAGGCUUGCGUGGCUACCAGGGUUAUCAGUAGUUCAUCCGGUGUUCCAUGUGUCCAUGCUCCAGAAGUAUCACGGCGAUCCGUCCCAUGUGUUAGAUUUCAGCUUUGUCCUGUUGGACAAGGAUUUGACUUACGAGGAGGAGCCGGUGGCUAUUCUAGCCUGUCAGGUUCUUCAGUUGAGGUCGAAGAGUUAUCCUUCAGUUUGAGUGCAUUGGAGAGGUCAGCCCGUCGAGGUAGCUACUUAGGAGUCAGAGUCAGACAUGCGGAGUAGAUAUCCCCACCUAUUCACUAGUUCAGGUACUUUUCUAUGUCCGUUCGAGUACGAACGAUUAUUUUAGAGGUGGAGAAUAUGAUGACCAGAUAGGUCAUCUCGUGUUUUGAAACCUAAUUUUGUGAUCCGAAGCCUUAAAAAUCAUGUUUUAGCCUUCCUCGAUUUGAGCGCGCAGUCCGAGCGUCUUCCCGGAAAGCUUUUAUGUUAAAAACUGAGAAAAUUAAGAAUUUUUGCCUAAAACCUUCAUUUGAGACUUCGGUCAGUAUUUUUCGUAAACAGUCCCUGAUUCGUGUUUUGACGGUCCCGGUGGGUCAGACGUCAGGUUGUGAAAAUAGAGAUUUCAAAGUUUUCUUGAAAAUUGCAUUUGAUUUGGUGUUCAAUUCGUAGUUUUAGGUGUUAUUUUGGUGUUUUGAUCACGCGAGCAAGUUCGUAUGAUAUUUUUAGACUUGUGUGCAUAGUUGGUUUGGAGCCCCGAGGGCUCGGGUGAGUUUUGGAUAGGCUACAGAGUGAAAAUUAGACUUAGAGCAUUGCUGGUGUUUCAGUUUCUAGUGUAGGCCUCUGAUCUCGCAAAUGCGAGAUCAAUAAUCGCAUUUGCAACCUCUGCAAGUUCCGCAUUUGCGAGCUAUUUCUCGCCUUUGCAAAGAAUAGCUGGGCCUCAUGACUUUCGCAUUUGUGAACAUUAUCUCGCAUUUGCGAUGGGAGCUGGGGGGAGGUACUCUUCGCAUUUGCGAUCACCGGGUCGCAUUUGCAGUCUUGCCUGGGUUCGCAUUUGCAAAAAUUCAGAAGUGUGAUGUUCUCACAUUUGUAAUGUAACCUUCACAUAUGCGAGCUUCGCAUUUGCGAAGCCCAGGUCACAAAUGCGACAUGUGCAGCUGAAGAAAUAGGACUUAGACGAGAUUUUGAUUCAUUCUUUAAAUUUUCAAACCUAGAAACACAAGAGGCGAUUUUCUAAAGAACGUUUCUUCCCCAAAUCAUUGGUAAGUGAUCUUAAACUAAUUACUUUCAAUCUUCCACUACAUUUUCCUAAGAUUCAACCUAAAAUCUAUAGUUUUUAUGGUGGAAUUGGGGUUUUGGGUAGAAACUAGUGAUUUGGUAAAUUGAUGAUUUAGACCUCAAAUUGAGGUCAGAUUUCAAAACAAAUUACAUAAUCGGGAUCGGGGGUGAAUGGAUAAUAGGAUUUUGGUCCGCAUUUCGGUUUUGGACCAAGCGAGCCCUAGUGUUGACCUUUUCAAAAAUGGCCUAAAUUGAAUUCUUUACAAUCGUGAGUAGUUCGUAAGGCUUAAAUUGAAUUGUUUGGUCAGUAAUUUGCUAGAUUCUAUCGGUUUGAAGGCUGGUGUGAAAGGAAAAGGCGUGGUUGAACUUUGAGUUUGGGACGUUGGAGUGAGGUAGGUGUCGUGGUUAACCUUGAUUGAGGGAAUAAGAAUUGUUUGCCUAUUUGCUGCUUGUUUAAGUUGUUGGAAACAACGUAUAUGUGAGGUGACGAGUACUUAUGUGUUGUAGUUUGGUUAAAGCAUGCGGGUGGGAUGUGGUUUCUUGCAAAUAUAGCUUCCAUUGUUCCUGUUAUCCCUGUUUAGACCAGUAUUGUUAAAUCGAUUGCUUUUAUCAUGCUUACAAAUCUUUUGGUGGUAAUUGAGUAUUGGUUUCGAAGUUGUGGUUGACAUUGUGGAACCAAAUAUUGAAGUAAGGCUUAUACUUGUUAUUUUAUAUCCCUGUUGUUGUUCAUUGCAUUAUGGUAAGGGAGAGUGUUAAUGCACAAAGGGUGAUGUCGUAUCGUUUCUAUUGACUUUAUGGGGAGGUUGAGAGUGUUAAUGCACGAAGGGUGAUGCCAUGCCAUAUUGUGAGUAUAAUGCACGAAUGGUGAUGUCAUGCCAUGAUAUGAGAGUUAAUGCAUGAAGGGUGAUGUCGUGUCAUUUCUAUUAAUUUCAUGGUGAGGGUGAGAGUAAAAUCAUGAAGGGUGAUGCCGUGCAUUCUUCUUUUACUGUGUUCAUUGGUUCCUAUUGGUUCAUAGUAUGUUUGUUGUUCACAUUAUCAUAUUGCUGUAGUUCUUUAUCUCGUAUGCCCCUCAUCAUGUUUCCCCCUCCCGGUAUUACCUGUGUAGUUCUUCAUUACUGUUAUUUGUAUAUAUACUAUUAAAUUGUACAUAUUUGAUUUGUAGGUGUCUUGUCUUAGCCUCGUCACUAUUUCGUCGAGGUUAGACUCGACACUUACCAGUACAUGGGGUCGGUUAUACUGAUACUGUACUUUGCACUUUCUGUGCAGAUUUUGGUACCGGCUCUCGCUGAUUGAGAGAUUAGCUGUUGGAUUUGCUAUCAGGAGACCCAAGGUAGAUCUGUCGGCAUCCGCAGACCCUGGAGUCUCUUCUUAGUUUUAUCUUUUACCGUUUUACUACUUCAAAAUAGUGUAUUUUCUUUUCUUCAAACUCUAUUUGUAGUAAUCUUAGUAGCUCGUGAAUUGUGACUCCAGAUCCGGGUGGUUUUAAAUAUUGAAGCCUUCAUAUUAUUUGGUAUUCAUUGUAUUUCAUCGUAAUUUAUUGUUGUUGUUGACUGAAUUGAAUAAGGUUUAGCUUAAUAAUACUCUAAUGUUAGUUUGCCUAGCAAGUGGGAUGUUAGGCGCUAUCACGGCCCCGACAGUGGAAAUUUUGGGUCGUGACACUUCAAAAAUGCCGUUGGUUGAGAGUCAUAUCCUCCAAAAGUAGUAUUUUAUUGGAGGAUCCGCGCGGUUGCAGCAACAUUAUUGAGAGUCUGAUCUAGUUGGGUGGUUCGAGCCGGGGGAGGCUCGGUUGUUGGGCACAGAUCUAGUACAGGAUGCCUUAAAUAAUGUCAAGAUUAUUUAGGAUCGACUUCGCAUAGCUUAGUCGAGGCAUAAGAGCUAUGCCGACCAUAGAGUUUAUGAUAUUGUAUUCAUGGUCGAGGAGAGAGUGUUGCUCCGGGUAUCACCCAUGAAGGGUGUAAUAAGGUUCAGAAAGAAGGGCAAACUGAGCCCUAGGUAUAUCGGACCUUUUGAGAUUCUGGAAAACGUGGGAGAGGUCACUUACAGGCUUGCGUGGCUACCAGGGUUAUCAGUAGUUCAUCCGGUGUUCCAUGUGUCCAUGCUCCAGAAGUAUCACGGCGAUCCGUCCCAUGUGUUAGAUUUCAGCUUUGUCCGGUUGGACAAGGAUUUGACUUACGAGGAGGACCCGGUGACUAUUCUAGCCUGUCAGGUUCGUCAGUUGAGGUCGAAGAGCUAUCCUUCAGCUCGAGUGCAUUGGAGAGAUCAACCCGUCGAGGUAGCUACUUAGGAGUCAGAGUCGGACAUGCGGAGUAGAUAUCCUCACCAAUUCACUAGUUCAGGUACUUUUCUAUGUUCGUUCGAGUACGAACGAUUGUUUUAGAGGUGGAGAAUAUGAUGACCCGAUAGGUCAUCUCGUAUUUUGAAACCUAAUUCUGUGAUCCAAAGCCUUAACAAUCAUGUUUUAGCCUUCCUCGAUUUGAGCGUGCAGUCCAAGCGUCUUCCCUAAAAGCUUUUAUGUUAAAAACUGAGAAAAUUAAGAUUUUUUGCCUAAAACCUUCAUUUGAGACUUCGGUCAGUAUUUUUAGUAAACAGACCCUGAUUCGUGUUUUGACGGUCCCGGUGGGUCAGACGUCAAGUUGUGAAAAUAGAGAUUUCAAAGAUUUCUUAAAAAUUGCAUUUGAUUUGGUGUUCAAUUCGUAGUUUUAGGUAUUAUUUUGAUAUUUUGAUCAUGCGAGCAAGUUCAUAUGAUAUUUUUAGACUUGUGUGCAUAGUUGGUUUGGAGCUCCGAGGGCUCGGGUGAGUUUCGGAUAGGCUACGGGGUGAAAAUUGGACUUAGAGCAUUGCUGGUGUUUCAGUUUCUAGUGUAAGCCUCUGAUCUCGCAAAUGCGAGAUCAAUAAUCGCAUUGGCAUCCUCUAUAGGUUUCGCAUUUGCGAGCUAUUUCUCACAUUUGAAAAGAAUAGCUGGGCCUCAUGACUUUCGCAUUUGCAAACAUUAUCUCGCAUUUGCGAUGGGAGCUGGGGGGAGGUACUCUUCGCAUUUGCGAUCACCGGGUCGCAUUUGCAGUCUUGCCUGGGUUCGCAUUUGCAAAGAAUUCAGAAGUGUGAUGUUCUCACAUUUGCAAUGUAACCUUCACAUAUACGGGCUUCGUAUAAUGCGACAUGUGCAGCUGAAGAAAUAGGACUUAGACGGGAUUUUGAUUCAUUCUUUAAAUUUUCAAACCUAGAAACACAAGAGGCGAUUUUCUAAAGAAUGUUUCUUCCCCAAAUCAUUGGUAAGUGAUCUUAAACUAAUUUCUUUCAAUCUUCCACUACAUUUUCCUAAGAUUCAACCUAAAAUCUAAAGUUUUCAUGGUGGAAUUGCGGUUUUGGGUAGAAACUAGUGAUUUGGUAAAUUGGUGAUUUAGACCUCAAAUUGAGGUCGAAUUUCAAAAUAAAUUAUAUAAUCGGGAUCGGGGAUGAAUGGAUAAUCGGGUUUUGGUCCGCAUUUCGGUUGUGGACCAAGCGGGCCUGAGUGUUGACCUUUUCAAAAAUGGCUUAAAUUGAAUUCUUUACAAUCGUGAGUAGUUCCUAAGGCUUAAAUUGAAUUGUUUGGUCGGUAAUUUACUAGAUUCUAUCGGUUCGGAGGAUGGUGUGAAAGGAAAAGGCGUGGUUGAACUUUGAGUUUGGGACGUUGGAGUGAGGUAGGUGUCAUGGUUAACCUUGAUUGAGGGAAUAAGAAUUGUUUGCCUAUUUGCUGCUUGUUUAAAUUGUUGGAAACAACGUAUAUGGGAGGUGACGAGUACUUAUGUGUUGUGGUUUGGUUAAAGCACGCGGGUGGGAUGUGGUUUCUUGCAAAUUUAGCUUCUAUUGUUCCUGUUAUCCCUGUUUAGACCAGUAUUGUUAAAUCGAUCGCUUUUAUCAUGCUUACAAAUCUUUUGGUGGUAAUUGAGUAUUGGUUUCGAAGUUGUGGUUGACAUUGUGGAACCAAAUGUUGAAGUAAGGCUUAUACUUGUUAUUUUAUCUCCAUGUUGUUGUUCAUUGCAUUAUGGUAAGGGAGAGUGUUAAUGCACAAAGGGUGAUGUCGUACCGUUUCUAUUGACUUUAUGGUGAGGUUGAGAGUGUUAAUGCACGAAGGGUGAUGCCAUGCCAUAUUGUGAGUAUAAUGCACGAAGGGUGAUGUCGUGCCAUGAUAUGAGAGUUAAUGCACGAAGGGUGAUGUCGUGUCAUUUCUAUUAAUUUCAUGGUGAGGGUGAGAGUAAAAGCACGAAGGGUGAUGCCGUGCAUUCUUCUUUUACUGUGUUCAUUGGUUCCUAUUGGUUCAUAGUAUGUUUGUUGUUCACAUUAUCAUAUUGCUGUAGUUCUUUAUCUCGUAUGCCCCUCAUCAUGUUUCCCCCUCCCGGUAUUACAUGUGUAGUUCUUCAUUAAUGUUAUUUGUAUAUAUAUUAUUAAAUUGUACAUGUUUGAUUUGUAGGUGUCUUGUCUUAGCCUCGUCACUAUUUCGUCGAGGUUAGACUCGACAUUUACCAGUACAUGGGGUCGGUUAUACUGAUACUGUACUUUGCACUUUCUGUACAGAUUUUGGUACCGGCUCUGGCUGAUUGAGAGAUUAGCUGUUGGAUUUGCUAUCAGGAGACCCAAGGUAGAUCUGUCGGCAUCCGCAGACCCUGGAGUCUCUUCUUAGUUUUAUCUUUUACCGUUUUACUACUUCAAAACAGUGUAUUUUCCCUUCUUCAAACUCUAUUUGUAGUAAUCUUAGUAGCUCGUGAAUUGUGACUCCAGAUCCGAAUGGUUUUAAAUGUUGAAGCCUUCAUAUUAUUCAGUAUUCGUUGUAUUUCAUCUUAAUUUAUAGUUAUUGUUGACUGAAUUGAAUAAGGUUUAGCUUAAUAAUACUCUAAUGUUAGUUUGCCUAGCAAGUGAGAUGUUAGGCGCUAUCACGACCCCGACAGUGGAAAUUUCGGGUCGUGACACUUCAAAAAUACCGUUGGUUGCGAGUCAGAUCCUCCAAUAGUAGUAUUUUAUUGGAGGAUCCGCGCGGUUGCAACAACAUUAUUGAGAGUCUGAGCAAUAUAGCGGCAGACUACCCCUGAAACCCCCAUGCUCCUAGUUGGCCCAAAAUCUAUUAUCUCUCUCUAUCUAUCUAUCUAUCUAUCUCCUCUUCCUCUUCCUCUUUCUUCUUCACACACAUUUCUAGUGGUCUUUAAGACCUCAAUCACUUCAAAGUUCUCUUGUCAGCUUCUGGCAUAGGAAAUUGCAGCAGCUUCAACACAACUGUUUUCCUUCAGAUGAGUACAUGCUACUAGACGCUAUACAACCCAAACACCUUAUCCUCGUCUGACAUAUUCCAUCAGAUCAAGAUACACAGGAGGGGGGGACCAAACCAAACCCCAUAAACAUUGUGGAUUGAGUAAUCUCUUGCCUGCAACAAGAGUCAACUAUUUCUUGUCUCCAAAUAAACUCAAAACCCACUCCCAUAAACCAAGUUUAUAAAAGGCUCAAGCUCUUUCAAUCUCAUCAAUGUUGGGAAAAGUUGAGUAUCAUAAGGGGUGGGGUAGACAAUAAAUCAACACAGAAGCAAGCCACUGAUGGAAGAGGCAGGGGAACACUAUCUUGUUUAACAUUAUCCCAUUUUUCCUAUAUAUUCCAGAUUCAACUACUACUGAAAGAAGCAAAAGAGGGAUACGAUGGGCUUUUAACUAAGGUGAGGUUCACUGAUCUAAACAAAAUAACUUUGAAGAAGUAUUAGCAAACUCAAUGUGACAGACUGAAAACUUCUUUACUCCCAACACCUGAGGACUUCUUAUUCUACUGCUCAAUUUCCUCACAAAAAAACAGAGUCUGUAACCAGCUAUGCUGCUUGGACCCUCUAAAAUACUGCUGCUCCCAUGUCGGAUCCUCUAAUAUUUUCGAAUGUUGGAGGAUCCAAUACAUAUGCAACAAUAUGUUUUAAGAGUUCGAGAUAUAUAGUAACCAGAUAAACUUUUCCAUUUUGAGAAGAAAAAUAAAAUAAAGUGAAUCGACCACCUAAUUGGUAACUAGAAACUUCUGAUAAGACACAUAUAAUUAAGUUGGCGAUGCGACACAAAAACAAGGGAAGAAGAUACAUAAGCUGUUGAAUCCCUUAAUUUCAUGGGAGUCAACAUGCUCGAACUGCCCAUUGGUGGUAGUGUGGUAUGUCCUUAAUGGUACUCUAUAUUUUGUCUCCAAGUUUUUAGAUCAAAUAGUAAGUUUUGGAUCCUUUCAACUAAAUGGUGAGAAGAGGAAACAAAGGUUUUGACAAAUUAAUGUAGGUAACGAAAGGCUUUUAUUUAAAUAAAACACAUACUAAGAGUCAUUACAACAUGUGACUAGUCUAGGCAAAAGGAAAACAAAGACAUCAUUGUUGAGUUGUGUGAAGUUUUACAUAUUUAUUGUGUAAUUAUUCAGAUAAAAGAAAAUUUUGUUCUUGGUCUCAAAUAUAUAGCUUGUUGGAAAUCAUGGGCAAAAGAAACAAAGGAGAGUUAAGAAAUCUACAUCCUAAUUCUUGUUUUCGGUGAGUUCUGGUGGCGGCUGGUGGGUCUGGCGGCGACCGCCUUAGGGGUGGAGUAGUUAGGUCUCUCUAGUGUUAGGUUUUUUUGUGAAAGAUGGAGUUUAUAUAUGAGGGUAUAGGGAAAUAUGGGCCAUUGGAUGUGAAGGGGGUGAAUGGCUGGGAUUAAAAGGAGAGAUGGAUCACAUGGGUUAUAGGUCUUGGGCUUAAUGGAUUGGGCUAAAUUUUAGCCGUAAUUGGGCCUUUUCUUGCCUAAUAUUGAUGGAAUAAUGAGCCUAAACUAUUAAAAUAUUAUAAAAUAUUAAUUAGUCUUAUUUGAGUAGAGUAAACUAUUAAAAUAAAACUAAAUACGAAAACAAAACUAUAUUUGGUAAUUUUCAAAUAUCAUACUAAAAUAAAAAUAUAAGUAGGUUAAAAUCCUAGCGAAAUUAAAAUAAUAUCACUACAAAUUGACUAAUGACCUCAAUAGAAAUGAAAAUAUUUUUGUGUUGUUUUUUUUUCAAAUUGUAAUUUGAAGUAAACAAAUAUUGACUAAAACUCCAUAAAUAUAAAUUUAAGUUAAAUAAAUAUGUUAAACAUUAAAAAUACGUGACUGGUAAAAAAUUACGUGCUUACAGCUGCCCAUCUUUGCUUGGAAAUUCGAAGAACUUUUUAGCAAAGAAAUAAGCAACGUAAUUGAUUCCUUACCCGACACUUAUUCAAAAGAAAAUGAAAAUAGAUAAAACGAUUAGACCGAGCCCUGGUAUAUGAGCUGCGUACAUAUCCUUGGCUAUAAAGGAAUCAUGCCAUAUGUAGUUCAGAAGUGAAUAAAGUGAUGUAGUAUGUGGAGAGGAUGAGAGAGUCGAUUGAGGUACCGUCGAGGUUCCGGUCCGCGUUUUCUACCAUUACAUUAGAAAUGAAAAGGCAAAUAAAAAUUACAUGGAAACUACAAAAUCCUAUCUUGAAUCUUUUAUAGUCUUGUUGUGCAUCUCGAAUUGUUGACUCGCAUUCUUGAGGCGAGUUUCUACUACUUUUAACUUGAAUAGACCCUAUUCUUCAGGCGGGCUCCUGCUAUUGACUUGAAGCUUGAACUAACUCUGAAAUGAAUUCCCUCGUUCUCUAGGUGGGCGCCUGCUAAUGACUUGAAAUUUUAAGUAACUCUAAAAUGAAUUCCCUCGUUCUCCAGGUGGGCGCUUGCUACUGACUUGAAAAUUGAAAUAACUCUGAAAUGAAUUCUCUGUUCUCCAGGUGGGCGCCUGCUACUGACUUGAAAUUUAAAGUAACUCUGAAAUGAAUUCCCUCGUUCUCCAGGUGGGCGCCUGCUACUUCUCUGACUUUAACCUGAAACCAAUUUCUGAAAUAUUGACCCUCGUUCUCCAGGUGGGUGCCUACAAUCAAAAACAAUAAAACAAAUAUAAUAUUCUACCCCAGUAUGCACUAGGAGGAUUUGUGAGUUGUUAGCAAUACUGUAAAUCACCUAUGCUAUUGAUGAAGGAUGCAAUGAUGAGGGUAAAAUUAAAUACUCGACUAGGAUGUUUGUCUCUUGUGGGUGCAUCCUUUAAGAGUAAAAUUGACAAACUUAGAUUAGGAAGUCUGUCUCCUAAAAAUUUAAUACAGAUGACCCAAAUUAGGAUAUGCAUCUCGUAGGGGUAAAACUUGAAUAACUUAGAUUAGGAAGUGCAUCUCCUAGGAGUGAAACUUGUAAUCUAAAAUUAGGAAGUUCGUUUCCUAAAAAUAAAAUCAUAAAAACCUAGACUAGGAAGUACGUCUCCUAGGGGUGGAACUUAAACGACUCAAACUAGGAAGUGCGUCUCCUAAGGGUGAAAUCUCAAUUUAGGAAGUGCGGCUUCUAAAGGUAUAACCUAAAAGACCCAGACUAGGAAGUGCGUCUCCUAGGGGUAAAACUUGAAUGACUCAAACUAGGAAGUGCAUCUCCUAGGGAUUAACUUAAAUGACCAAAACUAGGAAGUGUGUCUCCUAAAAAGUAUAAUCUUGAAAGACUCAGACUAGGAAGUGCGUCUCCUAGUGAUAAAACUUGAAUGACUCAAACUAGAAAGUGCGUCUCCAAGAGAUAAAACUUGAAUUACUCAAACUAGGAAGUGCGUCUCUUAGGGAUGAACUUAAACGACCAAAACUAGGAAGUAUGUCUCAUAAAAAGUAUAAUCUGAAAGACCCAGACUAGGAAGUGCGUCUCCUAGGGGUGAAACCUUUAACACAAAAUUAGGAAGUGCAUCUCCUAAAAAGUGUAGCCUAAAAUAUUUAAACUAGGAAGUGUGUCUCCUAGAUGUGAGAUUGGGCUUGAGAAAAACAAUAAACUAAGCUAGACUAAAAUAAAAACUGACACUAUUCUCCAGGUGGGACCCCUGAGCUCAAGAAAAACUAAUGAUUACCAACCUAACAAAAUUGAAAAUUGACCCUAUUCUCUAGGAGGGACCCCUGAACUUUAUGAAAAACUAAAGAUUACUAAAACUGAACCUAUUCUUCAGGCGGGACCCCUGAACUCAAGGAAAACUAAUGAUUACCAACCUAACGAAAUUAAAAACUGACCCUAUUCUCUAGGAAGAAAUCCUGAACUCAAGAAAAGCUAUAGAUUCCUCUCAACUAGGGAUAUGCCUAGGAGGUAUGGUUCUUCUGAGCUAGGAAAAAUGCCUAGGAGGUAUGAUCUUCUCAAUAGCCUUUGCGUUAGUAGAAUUGGGGAAUUACACCUGAAAAAUUCAAGCUUCCAAGCUUUGAUAUGAACGUAGCCUUCAUCGUUGUUUUAGACAAAGAAAACUUGUGAGUUUUAAACAUGGUGGUUAGUUUGUGGCUUUGACUGAUGGCGAUUUCUCUUGAACUUGUCAUGAUGUACUUGGACUUCGACUUGGAAGACAGUGCUUGUUAUCGGCCAACCACUUUUCUGGACAACCCUUAUCACAAGAAAUAUUCCUGAUUCGCUCAAGUCCAAUACCUUAUACCCAAUGCAUUGCACUCGUAUUCUAACAUUCGCCAAAUCUUUGCAUUUUACAUCAAUCCCAAAGAACAUCUAUUAUCAUCAACUUAGUGCACACACUAUUCUCCCAUGUCUUAUGCCAUUUUUAUGUGCUUGCAAGAUUCUGCUUUGUGUGAUUAAAAAGCUGGUAGCAGGUGUUUAAGUCAUUUCUCACUUGUUUCGACAAAACUAGUCUCAAAAGGGACUCAAACAAAACAAGAGGAACAAAGUAAAGAGAAGAACGAGAAGAGAUAGUAUCUAACAAGAACAUGUUUUACCCAGGAAAAAGAACAAAGUAGAAACUAACUUGAUUUGAAUGCUAGCUCCACUAAUCAUGCCAUGCAUUUUGGAUAAAGCGGCCUGAUCUGUCAAGCGAGUUUAAUAUUCAACUCUUGUUAUACUUCAAAGCUGUGAAACUGGGCCUCAGGGCUUCAAUUGUCCUAUCUGAUCCAUGAUCCUCAGUCGACUUGUAGUGCCCUGAAAGGUUUUUACCAUCAAGCCUCUCUCAUUUUUUUCUUUUUCUCAACUCACUGUUGCCUUAUGGUGCCCAUGAAGGCUUUCACCGAUAAGAUUCUCUCAUUUUAUCAUUUUCUCUCUUUGUGCUAAGAACAAGGUAUUACCCAUGAUACACGAAGAUCAUACUUUUACCACUCACUUGAUUAGAUUGGUUGGAAGGUCUUUCUUUGGACCGUAAUGUAGGCUUUUGAAUAGGGUUAAAAAGAAAGGAUGAUAUAAAGGCUCAAAACAAUUAAAAUGAAAGGGGUUUUUAACUUACAACUUUUGGAAUCAGAUCUAUUUACAAAACUAAAACUUCUGCCCCAGUUUCUUUAAGUCUGAAGAAUUUUGGAUUUUUAUUUUGAUAAGACUGAACCACAGAGUAAGGCUGCCUACGUAUCCUUAAAAGAAAUCAGGUCGAACCUAGUUCCAAAGUACAAUUCGUUUUGUUUUUCCCUUUUUUUUCUUUUUUUUCUUUUUUAUUUUUUCUCUUUUUAUCUUCUUUUUUUGUGAUUUUUUUCAUUUUUCAUUUUUCUAACUUUAUUUCGGAUUCCAAAAGAGGGGUAUGAAAGAAAACAAAUUAAGGCUCAACAGGGGUGGCAAAAGAUAAAAGUGUUUGGGUAGAAGAAUAAAAUACCUUCGUCAUAUCAAACUUUAGAAAUGCCAAGUACAAACAUGCUAUUGAAGAUAAGAAAAGAAAUCAUACAUAGUAUCUAUUGAUGGCAUCAUUACAAAUAAAAAGUGCCAAUGAGCAAUACCUUUGUUCCAAUGAAUGACCCUUGCCAGUUUGAAGCAGACUUGACUCAACCUUAUCUUGAUGUAGAAGGAUGCAUUUCAACACUGACUAAUCUACCUCAAACUGCUUGAGAGGCAUUUUCAUGUUGUAUGCUCUUAUCAAUCUCUUGAUUUCCCAGACUAACUGCCUCAGUUUCACUCAAUUCAAGCUUCAGGUUAUCUUAGAAUGCGUGAAUCUUUACUUGUUUUAUCAAAUACAUCUUUUUAUCAUAUUCAAAAUUGUGUUUCAUUAUUUCAUGAUUAGACUGGCUUUCAAGAUCUGGCUAAAAACUCUACAUGCAUGUCAUGUCACUAUAACUGGCGUGAAGAGAACUAUAUACAAGAAAAAGAACUAAACGAAGACUGCAACUAACAGAAAAACAAAAUCUCAUUUGACCAAAGGAUGGAAGGGUUUUAACAACAUAAUAAAAGCUAUAUUAAAGCCCCGAGCCAUGACAGACUUAGAGACACAAAACUAACUAACAAGACUCCUCGAGUUAGGCAAAAGAGGAUAGAAUGGUUUGAAUAAAAAACAAACAAGAUAAAAUCUGGAUUACAUUACUAAAAUAACCCAGAUAGCAGAAAAUAUAUCAAAAUAAACUGCCAAGACUCCUUCUUGGCGAGGAAUUGAGGUGCUUUCUAAUUACUAAGCUCGAGAUCUUAGCCACUGAGUUGCACAUAAAAAAUUCACAAAUUUCAAUCACAUUGUCUUCACUAAGUGGAUUAUUGACUCUUUUAACCAACCCUUCCUCAACACUGACUGUUGAAUUAGCAAUUGACCACCUAAGAGAUCUUGCCGCAAAUGACUCACCAAAGGACUUGAAAGAACCUGCACAUUCGUUGUCAUUGUAAAUCAUCCUAACAAUUUGUGCGGUGUCAUGUACCUUUAGAGGAUUUUGUGUGACACUUGGGGUAUUACUGCCUUGGACCACAAUUUCCCUUCUGGAGUCAUUCUUUAUAUUUCCCUUUUCAAAGCAUGACAAUCUUCAGUGCUAUGCCCUUGGACAUUAGAGUGAUACAUGCACCGUACAGUAUGAUCAAAACCUUUUUCAUAUGGAUCUGGAGUAUAGUCAAGGAGUGGCUCAAUCAAGCCAGAAUGUUUUAACGUUUCAAACAAGCUUGUGUAGGAUUCCCCGAUUGUAGUGAAACUAUUUAUUUGCCUUUGUUCCCCUCCAUGCCCCUAUUUUCUAGGGUUAUUGGGUGCUCGGAAAUGUUGUUAAGGCGAAAGAGUAUUUCGCGGUGCUGGUGCUCGCCAUAAGGAGUGGCCUAGUGGUUAAACAGAUGACUGGACAUUAUACGAGGAUAAUUUUGGCUAUGAUUAUGUGGAGCUCGGGGAUAGGUUUGGGGUUGGGGUCGAGGAUAAGUAUAUUGGUGAGACGGACCAUUUGAGCCAUGUCGUAAUCCUGAGACAAACAUGGCAACAUCAUCCUUUUUCUUCUGACCCGAAAAGCUUCCUUUGUCGUUCUGAAUUGCUUGUGUUGUGGCUUUUAAGGCAAAAUAUAUCAUGAUAUUGCUUGACUUCAACCCAUCUUCUACAAUUUCUCCCAUUUUUACCAAAUCAUUAAAAGGCUUACCCACGGCCGAGAUCAAAUGCCCAAAGUAAGUAGGCUCUUGAGCUUGAAGAAAGUACUCAACCAUCUCGUCUUCUUCCAUCGAGAGAUUGACUCGGGCAGCUUGCUCUCUCCAUUUGUGCCCGUAUUCCCUAAAGCUUUCACUAGGCUUCUUUUCUACCUUCGUCAGGGAUAGAUGAUCUGGGAUAAUGUCUAUAUUAUACUGAAAGUGACGGGCAAAAGCCUGAGCCAUAUUGUCCUAUGUGUACCAUCUACUAGCAUUUUGUCGGGUGUACUAUUCCAGAGCUGCCCCACUUAGACUCUGACUGAAAUACGCCAUCAAUAACUCAUCCUUUCCACUGGCGCCUCUCAUCUUACUGCAAUAAACUCUGAAGUGGGCUACGGGAUCCUAUGUACUUCGUAUAGAUGAAACUUUGGCGUCUUAAACCCGGUGGGCAAUUGGACGUCAGGAAUAAUCACAAGCCCUUGUAAGCCACACUUACUUGGCUUCCUAUCCAUUGAAUGUUCCUUAAAUAUUGCUCCAGACUCUUCACUUUCCUGAAUAUCUCAUCUUGCUCCACGUUCUUAGAUGGAUUCUCGGUUUCAACAGGAGGCUUAAAGAGAGGGGUGUAACAAUAAGGAUUCGGGACCUUGAAGGUUGGUUAUGGAGCAUAAUAUUUGGCAUAUGGAGCUUUGAAGGCGGGUUCACUAGAAACUCGGUGGAGGGUAGCUUGUGGAAGGGCUACAAAAAUAGGAGUAGAUGUCGGAGCAGGGUAUGAGGUUGUUUUGGCUGGUGGAUCAUGAAAAGUUUGGGAUGAGGUGCUAGGGUAGUUUUAGUAAGAGGUAAAGCCCGGUGAAUAUUGAGGGAAGAGGUCAACGGUAGUGGGAACCUGGGCUUGUGACAGUGGCGGGAUGGAAGUAGGGUUUUCUGUAUAGUUAGUGGGAAAUGAGUGUGGAGGAUGACCACUAAUCUAGGCAUGGUACAUCUCUAUAAUCUUGUUGUUUUAACCUUAGGACCUCUUCUUUCAACUCAGAUUUUGAUUCGACAAUCCCCAACAAUGACUACAAUAUCACGAACUCUACGGUCGGCAUAACUCUUCUUCCUGGACUGAGCUAUGCGAAGUCGAUCCUGAAUAAUCUUGACCUUAUCCAAGGUAUCCUAUACUAGAUAUGCACCCAACAACCGAGCCUCCCCGGGCUCAAACCACCCAACUGGCAAUCGGCACUGCCUACCGUAUAAUGCCUCAUACGGAGCCAUCUGAAUGCUCGACUGGUAGUUGUUGUUGUAGGCAAACUCUGUAAGGGGAAAGAACGAAUCCCACGAUCCUUCGAAGUCUAUGACACAUGUGCGGAGCAUAUCCUCCAAGAUCUGAAUAGUGCGCUCAGACUUUCCGUCCGUAUGAGGAUGAAAUGAUGUACUCAACUCAACCCUCGUGCCCAACUCACACUGUACUGCCCUCCAGAAGUGCGAGGUGAACUGCGUACCUCGAUCAGAAAUAAUAGAUACGGGCACACCGUGAAGAUGGACGAUCUCGUAGAUGUAAAUCUCUGCCAACUGCUCCGAAGAAUAAGUAACUGCCACAGGAAUGAAAUGCGCUAACUUAGUCAGCCUGUCCACAAUGACCCAAACAACAUCAAACUUCCUAUGAGUCCGUGGGAGUCCAACAACGAAAUCCAUAGUGAUGCGCUCCUACUUGCAGUUAGGAAUCUCUAUUUGCGAAAGCAAACCACCGAGUCUCUGAUACUCAUACUUCACUUGCUGACAAUUGAGGCACCGAGCGAUAUAAGAAACUAUAUUCUUCUUCAUCAUCCUCCACCAAUAAUGUUUCCCCAACUCCCGAUACAUCUUGGUGGCUCCCGGAUAAAUAGAAUACCGGGAACAGUGGGCUUUCUCAAGAAUCAACUUACGAAGUCCAUCCACAUUAGGCAUACAAACACAACCCUGCAUCCUCAAGACUCUGUCAUCUCCAACAGUAACCUGCUUGGCACCAUUGUUCUGCACUGUGUCCCUAAGGACCACCAAAUGAGGGUCGUCAUACUGCCGAUCUCUGAUACGCUCAAACAAAGAAGACCGAGCUAUUGUACAAGCUAGAACAUGACUGGGCUCUGAAAUAUCCAACCUCACAAACUAGUUGGCCAAAGUCUGAAUAUCUAAUGCAAGCGGCCUCUCACCGACUGGAAUGAACGCAAGGCUACCCAUACCCAUUGCCUUUCUACUCAAGGCAUCGGCCACUAUGUUGGCCUUCCCGGGAUGAUAUUAGAUGGUGAUAUCAUAGAUUUUCAAUAGAUACAACCACCUCCUAUGCCUCAAAUUGAGAUCCUUAUGCUUGAACAAAUACUGAAGGCUCCGAUGAUUCGUGAAAAUCUCACACGACUCACCAUAAAGAUAGUGCCUUCAAAUCUUCAGUGCGUGAACAAUGGCUGCCAACUCUAAGUCAUGGACAAGGUAAUUCUUUUCAUGCACCUUCAACUGCCGCGACGCAUAUACAAUCACCCUACGCUCCUGCAUCAAUAUUGCACCAAGCCUAACACGGGACGCAUCACAAUAUACCGUGUAAGAUCCUGAACCUGUGGGCAACACCAACACUGGUCCUGUAGUCAAAGAUGUCUUGAGCUUCUAAAAUCUCUCCUCACACUCGUCUGACCAUUUGAAUGGGGCACCAUUCUGGGUCAACUUGGGCAAUGAGGCUGCUAUAGAUGAGAACCCAUCCACAAAUCGAUGGUAAUAGCCCGCCAAACCCAAGAAACUCAUGAUCUCCAUAGCUGAAGUGGGUCUAGGCCAAUUCUGGACUGCCUCAAUCUUCUUAGGAUCUACCUGAAUGCCCUCUGCUGAAACAACGUCGCCCAAGAAAGCGACUGAAUCGAACCAAAACUCGCACUUCAAAAAUUUAGCAUAUAAUUGGUUGUCUCUUAGACUCUGAAGCACAAUCCUAAGAUGUUGCUCAUGCUCCUCUCGACUGUGAGAGUAGAUCAAGAUAUCGUCAAUAAACACAAUCACAAAGGAGUCCAAAUAAGGCUUGAACACUUGGUUCAUCAAAUCCAUGAAUGCUGCUGGAGAAUUUGUCAACCCAAAAGACAUCACUAGAAACUCAUAAUGCAUGUACCGAGUAUGGAAAGUUGUCUUAGGGACAUAUGAUGACCUAAUCCUCAACUAAUGGUAGCCAGAUCUCAAAUCAAUCUUCGAAAACACCUUGGAACCCUGAAGUUGAUCAAAUAAAUCAUCAAUCCUCGGCAAUGAAUACUUAUUCUUGAUGGUGACUUUGUUCAAUUGCCGAUAAUCUAUACACAUCCUCAUAGUUCCAUCUUUCUUCUUCACAAACAACAUCGGUGCACCGCAAGGCGAGACACUAGGUCUAAUGAAGCCCUUAUUAAGCAAAUCCUGCAAUUGUUCCUUCAAUUCUUUCAACUCUGGUAGGGCCAUACAGAAUGGUAGAAUGGAAAUUGGCUAAGUGCCCGGGGCCAAAUCAAUACAGAAAUCAAUAUCCCUGUCGAGUGGCAUCCCCGGCAGGUCUGCAGGAAAUACCUCUGGAAACUCACGAACAACUGGAACGGGAUCGAUGGAAGGAACCUCUACACUAGAAUCACG
RNAcentral lists this long non-coding RNA (51604 nucleotides) under Nicotiana tabacum (common tobacco). Its description in RNAcentral is "long non-coding RNA (NTAB_LNC011825)". The record is from RNAcentral. Lineage: Eukaryota; Viridiplantae; Streptophyta; Magnoliopsida; Solanales; Solanaceae.